This 63246-nucleotide long non-coding RNA is filed under the name Malus domestica (apple). RNAcentral describes it as "long non-coding RNA (MDOM_LNC004283)". The record is from RNAcentral. Lineage: Eukaryota; Viridiplantae; Streptophyta; Magnoliopsida; Rosales; Rosaceae.
CUCUCUCUCUCGCUCUCUCUUCCUCUCGGUGCAACUCUCAAGCGGUAAGGGAAGUGUGCAAAGGAAGCCAAAUAAAUGGGCAACUAGAAAACAACCACCAACAAAGUGAUGUGGCAAAGUAAAACCCACUCACUAAUUACUGUUCAAUUAGAGCACUUAGUCAACAAUCUACAACGGUCCAAUAACGUAGUAACUUUUCCUUUUAUUUCAUGGUUGCACCUAACUUUUGUGUUAGAUUGCUUACAUACUCAAAAGGGAUCAAACCAUUCAGUAGCUCGCAAAUGAUAAAAUCUGACGUUUCUCACAUGCAUGAUGCACCCAUAUGAGAUUUCAUCAUUCACAUAUAUCACAAAGAUUUCCCUCAAUCAAAACCACAAUCCGUAUCAAAUAACAUUUCAAUGAAUCAAAGAUGCACAAUAUUAACUUUUAACCAUAUUAAUCAACCAAUCUGAUCACACAUCAAUAAUAAAAAUUAUUCAUAAACCAUACUUUAUAAAUUAUAAAUAAACUCGCUAAAAAUCCCGAGUGAGUCACCUAGACAUCCAUCGCCUUUCUAAAUCAAACCACAAAGGUUCUCAAAUCUUUAGUUAAUAUAUACACUGAAAACCAAGCAGGACUAUCCAUGAAAGUAAACCGAGUAGGCAAUGACCCCCAAAUAUGGGGUCCUUUUGCUUCGGGGGAAGAAGGGAACGAGUUAAGGUCUUCUGUCCCAAUAUUAUAUGUCCCCUCCCGUCCCAAUCCUAACAUCAAUAUUCAUCAUUCAUGUUUCACAUUUCAAGUUUCAUCCGCAGUUAGUAAGUCAAGGCAAUGCAACAAGAUUUAAGAUAGAAGUUAAGAUUGAGGCUAUUCAUCAUAGGGCUCUCUUAUCUCUUCCUUCUCCGAGCUUGGGUUAUGGGAAGAAGAAGAAAACAAUAAGAAAGUAUCUGCAACAAUCAAUUUUUGUUACGGGACAGCUCAUGAUGUUUAUAUCCAUUUAUUAUGUGCUUCUCAUCUAGCAUUGGGUAGAACUCAUACAAUAAUAUGUCCUAACUUUACUGUAUCUAUUGUUUCAUUUCUUCUGGAACAAUCACACACUUUUUUUUUGUAUUAUGGAUCUACAUGUCAAGCCUACAUUAAACAAAGGAGUUUUCAUUUUAGUAUUAUAAAUGUAUAUAUUUUUCUGUCGGUAUUACUUUUGGAUAUCAAUACCAUAUAUAGCAAAUAUUUUCAGUUCGAUACAAUUACCCGCCCAUUAAGGUUUGGCACAAAAAAUUAGCAUAAAAUUGGUUUGGUAUAGUUGGUAAAUGGUAUGGUCCAGUAAUAUGGUAAAAACAUUCACUCUACUAUGAUCUUGUAAUAUACAUCUACAAUAUGUUUAGAAACACUUACACAAAUCCUCGCCCCAACUUUAUUAAAAAUAUUUUGAAAAUUCGACCAUUUAAAAAAAAAAUUAAUUAUUUUUAUUUAUAUUGAAGUAUAUGCUAAAAUGAGUGUACAAUAUGUGAAUUUUAUAUCUAAUUGAAAAAUGAGCAAAAGUAACUUGUAUGGUAAGUAUCUUGGAGUUAAAAAAAAAAAAGAAGGUGUAAUUAAUAAAUCAUUGAGACGUGUAUGGAAAAUAGAAAUAUUUUUGAAAAAGAAAUUACUAAGUGGCUCUCAUGAUUUGUGAGUUUCGUACUAAUUUUACAUUCGAAUUUUAGUUUUGACUCAAAAGUUUAUGGUGUAAAUAACCUAACAUUGUUAACCAUUGUAAAAAUGUAAUUAAUAACCAUAGACACUUAAGGGUGUAAAUGAGGCGUGCCAAACUGAAUACCAAAGUGCCCAAACUCGACUCAAAUGAUAUUAUUUGUGCUCAAGCUCGGCUUUAGAACAAUAACAAAAUGUUUGUUCUAGGACAACAAUUUGCUGCCCCACGCCAAACUCCGACCACCCUAUCAGGAAGCCCAGCUCGUGUUAAAGUUAAUCAUUUGCUUUUGUUGUUGUCUAACAUGUCCUUUUAUGUAAUUUGAAAUUCUUUGGAUCUCUAAUCUAUUGCCACAUGUAUGGCUUAGAUCUUUUGUAAAGGGCUGCCCAAUUGCCUUAGCAACUGUCCCAAAUACUAGGACAUUUAAUCCAAAUAAAAAAAAUAUCUCUCUUUGUGAAAAAAUAGUUCUCUAUUUUGUUUGCCCUGUUGUUGCCUCUUACUUAAAUCUCCAUUUUUUCUCAUUUUUAUUCUAGUUUUAUUAAUGAUGAAGAUGGUCUGAAUACCAACAUGGUAUCAGAGCCAAUCUGAUCAAAGAGUGGGGAAUUUUUUUUAUUCUCAAAAGGGGGAAAAUUCUAAGUGAAACCCUAGAAUCAAAAUUUUCAAAUUCAUGGCUGGUUCAAGUAGUAGUGAAGAGAUUCGAACUCCUAUCUUCAGUGGAGUGAAUUACGACUUAUAAAGGACAAAGUUGAGAACAAGUUUUGUAUCUCACGAUUUGUGAAGCUUGAUUGAAGAUGGCUAUGUGGUACCCCUAAGUACUGUAGCUUUGACAGAGGCUCAAACAAAGGAACUGAAGGAAAACAUCAAGAGAGAUGCAAAAGCUCUUGGGCUCAUGCAAAAUGCUAUCUUAGAUGAAUUUUUUUUUUGGAAUCUCGAACGAGACAAGUGCCAAAUUAGCUUGGGAUGUGCUUGAGAAAGUCUACAGAGGCUCUACUAAGGUAAAGGCUGUCAAACUCCAAUCUUUGAGAAGAGAUUUUGAGUACAUAAGAAUGAAAGAUGAUGAAUUGCUAGAUAAUUACCUGAGUAGAUUGUCUGAGAUUAUUAAUCAAAUGAAAAGUUAUGGUGAAAUCUUGUCUGAUGAGAGAAUAGUUCAGAAGUAUCUAAUCAGCUUGCCAAGAAAGUAUGACAACAUAGUUUCAAUCAUAGUGGAGACUAAGGAUUUGUCAACUUUGAGUGUUGAAGAAAUGAUUGGUUCACUCAAAGGUUUUGCUCAAAGACUAUCCAGGCAUGACAACAAUGAUGUAGAAAAUGCUUUCCAAAUGCUUACAGUGAAUCCAAAAACUGAAGUUAGUUCAAGUCAAAGCAAAGCCAAGCCCAACAAGAAUUAGAAAGGAAAAAACAAAAAGUGGGAAGGAAAGGAUAAUUUUGAAGAGAAGAAAAGGUUGAGAAGAGUUAGUAUGCUUCAAAGUGCAAAAUUUGUGACGAAGCUCAUUCUGGUGAAUGUUGGUUCAAGGGAAAAGUGAAAUGCCACAAGUGUAUUAGAUUCGGGCAUAUGCAAAAGGAUUGUACCUAUAAGAAUAAUUAGCUAGCUCACUACACAUAAGCAGAAGGUGAAAAGACCAAUAUGUUUUGUGUUGGUCAUGAUACAACCGUCCAAGAAGAAUCUAAAGUUUGGUUUGUGGACAACGGCUGUAUCAAUCAUAUGGCAGUGAACAAGAACAUUUUUUCAUAAUAUUGACACUACAAACCCAACCCGAGUGAAGAUAGGAAAUAGGCAGCUAGUCGAUACAUUGGGAAGAGGUACUAUUGCCGUGCAUACGAAUAAUGGAAAUAUGUUUAUCAAGAAUGUCGUGUUAGUUUCUGAUUUGAAGUAAAUUUUGCUAAGUCUUCGAUAACUCAUUGAGCAUGGUUAUUACUUGUAUUUUGGAGACAAUACUUGCAAGAUAUAUGAUGGGAGGAAUCGUGAACAACUCUUGGCUAAGAUUGAGAUGAGGAAAAGUGGAAGUUUUCCUCUCACAAUUGAGUAUGCAACUCAAUCUGCACUCAAGAUGGAAGUGCAUGGGUUGUCUAGUAUCCAAGAAAAUGAAGAAAUCUGUUAAGGGUGUGCACUUGGGAAACAUCAUAGAGAUUCAUUUCCAUAUGGUAAAGCUUGGAAAGCAAAGGCUCCAUUGGAAUUGAUUCAUACAUAUGUUUGUGGACCCAUGAAGACCUCUACUCAAGUGGGAAACAGGUAUUUUCUAAUCUUCAUGGAUGAUUAUUCCAGAAUGACUUGGGUAUACUUUUUAAGACAGAAAUCAUAAGUGUUCUUAAUUUUUACGAAGUUUCAAGCUAUGGUUGAGCGACAGUCUGGUUAUCUAAUCAAAGUUCUUAGAAGCAAUAGAGGAGAAGAGUACACAUCCACAUAGUUUGAUAAGUUUUGUCAAGAUAUUGGCUUGGAAAGACAGCGUACUGUCAACUAUACUCCACAACAAAAUGGAGUAGUUGAGAGAAAAAAAUAUAGAACCAUAGUCAAAAUGGCUAAGGUAAUGUUGCAUGACAAGGGAAUGCCUCAAUAUUUGUUGGGUGAGAUAGUUAAUAUAGUGGUUUACUUGAUGAAUAGGCAUCCGACAGUGGCAGUUGAAGGCAAGACACUAUUUGAGGCAUAGAGUGGAAGAAAACCUUCCGUGAAUCACUUGAGAGUGUUUAGGUCAAUCUACUUUGCUUAUGUACCAAAAGAACUAAGAAGAAAUCUUCUUGGGAUUGGAAUCAAGCAAUCAUCCGAGAGGAAUCUGCAUUAAUCAGAAUUGAAGAAGAAAAUCAGCCAAAUGAAGAGGAAAUUGAGCUGGAAAAUCCAUAAUUGUCACUUGAAAAUAGUCCUCAAGUUCACUCUCCCACACCUUUGAGUCCAAGUUCAACGCCAAUUUGGUUAAGGAGCUUAUGAAGUCUAUAAAAGCUGCAAUUUAUGUGUUGUAGAACCAGAAAACUUUGAUGAUGCAGUGAAAAAAGAUACAUGAAAGGCUGUAAUGCAAAAAGAGAUCAAUGUUAUUGUGAAAAACAAGACAUGGCAACUAGUGGUCAGACUUUGUGACAACUCCGUCAUUGGAGUGAAGUGGAUUUAUAAGACUAAGCUUAAUCAAGAUGGUUUUGUUCAAAGGAACAAAGCUAGAUUGGUAGCAAAAGGUUAUUCUCAGAAACCUGGGAUUGACUUCCAAGAAACCUUUGCAUUGGUAGCUAACAUGAAACAAUCUGUGGCCUUAUUUCUGAAGCUGCUCAGAAGAAGUGGUUUCUACACCAACUUAACGUCAAGUCUGCUUUCCUAAAUGGAGUCCUAAAAGAAGAGGUGUUCGUUGAUCAACCUUAAGGAUUUGUUCGUAAAGAACAAGGGCACAAGGUGUACAAUAUUAAAAAGGCACUUUAUGACUUGAAACAAGCUCCAAGAGUAUGGUAUGGAGAGAUCAACUCAUAUACUUCAAUGAAAGGGGAUUUCAAAGAAGUGAGAAUGAACCUGCCUUCUAUUUCAAAACUGAAGGUACUUCAGAUAUCCUUAUCGUUUCCUUAUAUGUUAAUAAUUUGGUUUAUACUGGAAGUAGUGAUAAAAUGAUCUUGAAUUUCAAGAAUGACAUGACGAGGAAAUAUGAGAUGAGUGAUCUAGGCAUGAUGCAUUAUUUUUUGGGAAUUGGUAUCAUUCAAUCAAAUGAUGGUAUCUUUAUUACUCAAAAGAAAUAUGCAAAAACACUUCUAGAAAAAUUCAAAAUGGUUGGUUGCAAUCCUGUUGCAACACCUCUAGUUGUGAACAAAAGUUUCAAAGAGAAGAUGGUAGUGGUGAUGCUGAUGAAUAUGUGUAUAGAAGCCUAGUUGGGAGUUUAUUGUAUUUGAUAGUGACUAGACCCGAUAUUAUGUAUGAUGCAAGCUUGUUGUCCAGAUUUAUGCACAAGCCUACUUGCAUUCACUAUGGAGCUGCAAAGAAGAUCCUAAGAUACAUACGAGGUACACCUGACUUUGGUAUUAUGUAUGAAAGGAAUGUUGAGCCAAAAUUGUAUGGGUUUUGUGAUAGUGAUUGGGGAGGUAGUGUGGAUGACUUAAAAAGCACAUAUGACUAUACUUUUACAUUAGGGACUGGUGCAUUCUCUUAGUCAUCUAAGAAGCAGAAAUCAGUUACACUAUCAACGGCAGAGGCUAAGUUUGUGUCAGCUUCAAUUGCAACUUCUCAAACAGUGUGGCUGAGAAUAAUUAUGCAAGACUUUGGUGAGAAACAAGAAUCAACAGCUCCUAUCAUUUGUGACAACAAGUCAACUAUUGCCAUGAGCAAGAAUCUUGUCUGUCACAGCAAGUCAAAAUAUAUUGCUUUGAAGCAUCACUACAUCAGAGGUGUUGUUGAAGACAAGGAAGUGGAUAUGGUAUACUAUAGGACAGAAGAUCACGUUGCUGAUAUCUUCACCAAGGCAUUACCAAAGGACAGAUUCAUUACCUAAGAGAACUUUUGGGAGUGAAGCAGCAAAGCAUUAAUGUCUUCUUGCCAUAGAAUUCAUCCUCUCUUUUGAAGAAUCAUGGGCAAUGAAUUGUUGAAAAAAGUGAGCGGGUGGGCUAUGCAUGAGUGUCAAACGCUGCAGCUUUUCAUAUUCCCUGUCAAGGAAACCAACACUACUAAAUCAUCUUUUUCUAUUCCCAUCUCAAUAUUAUUUCUAAUAUUUUGUUUAAAGUUAUAUGCCAUUAAAUCAAAAGAAAAACUAAUGAAAAUAAUUUGAAAACUUUGAGUUUUAAUCAAAAGGACAAAAAUGUGUUAUAAGUGAAUAGUAUCAGGAGUGACUUUUAGAGUAAAAAUAUCAUUUUCGUUAAAAGUGAACAGUACCAGAAGUGUUUCGUUAAAACUCCCAUCAAAAGGAAAACUAAUGAAAUCCUUUCAUUAAUUUCCUUUGAAAAAAAAAAACCUUGACAUUUAAUCGAGAGACUCCAAAGCUAUUCUCAUUUCUCAUUCCCUUCAUAUAUUUUGUCAAUCUCAAAUUGCAAAUCAAUUCAGCAAACAACAAUAAGAUUUAUAAAAAAAUUUGGCUAUAAAUUUUUUGGUUUCUCCUUUGCUCUACCUCUUACUUGAGUGCUAGGGUUUGCAUAUUUUUUAUUGAAACAUUUUUCCUAUUAACUUUAAUAACCCUUUCAAAUUUGUUUAUUGAUGCUUUGUUAUGUUGGACUUUUGAUUACUUAGUGCGUGUGUGUGUAUAUAUGUAUUAUAUUAGGAUGUUUUGGUUAGCAACUUUGUAAAUAUUAUUUGUGUAAUUUCUUUUACAUUUAAGCCUCAUCUUGCAUAAAAUUCUGGCUCCCUGGCUACGUAUAUAAAGUGUGUAGAAAAACAUGCGGAAUAUGACCAAUUCAAAACCUGUAUAGUUGUUCAACACAAGAGCAAUGAACUGCACGACACCCAUUAUUCAACACAUUUGACCUAUUUUCUUCCUCUUUUGAAAAAAAUAAAAUGCCAUUUUUUUUCCUUGAUGAGCUCCAUCAGCAAUCAGUUUAUGACACUGAAAAUCAACCUUGACCAAACACAUUAUUUCUUGUUGCGAAACAACAACAAAAUAUGGCUGCCACACUCUCUGGAUACUUGGAAUAUUGACUUCUUGGUGGAAUGGAAUAUCUUCUUUCUCAAAUUUAAAUACAAGUGCAGGAUUAAAGCCAUUAUGAAAAUUUAAGCCCCUCGAAAUCACACAAAAAAUUUAAACAAAAUGUCUGCAAUUCUGCUCUUUCUUCUUCUUAUUCUUCUUCUUCUUAUGCAGAUUACUACAUUUUCUUUUGCAACUGCUGAGCAAGGAACCGGAAACAUUAGCCUCGAUGCUUCUCUCUAUACAGAUAACAAUUCAUAUUGGUUGUCAAAUUCAGGCUAGUUUGAGUUCGAAUUUUACAACGAAGGCAACAAGUUGGUGGUAUGCAUCUGAUAUGAGAAAAUCCAGCAAAAAACAAUCGUAUGGACAACAAAUUGCGAUGCUCCGCUGCCACUCUCUAACGAUGUAAAGCUGCUUGGUGAUGGAAUAAGAGUCGUGUCGCCAGAUUAUCGAAUUGUAACAGCAACAACAACCAUUUCGAACAUUUAUGAGCCUGCUGCCUCAGCUUCCAUGCUCAAUUCUGAUAACUUUGUCAUAUACAACUUGAAUUCAAAGAUCAUUUAGCAGAGUUUUGAUACUCCAACCGAUACCAUUGUAUCUGGCCCGCGACUGCUAGCUGGAAACAAGAUUGUCUCCAUCAUCUUGGAUAAAAAUCAUGCAAGCAGAAGGUUUAGACUUUCGAUGCAGCGUGAUGGGAACCUAGUGCAAUACUUGGAAGGUCUGAUUGUAUUACAACAUCAUGCUUACUGGAAUGCUGGGACAUUCAGGGUUGGAGACAAUGUGUCUCUCAACUUUGAUCACAAUGGGCAUCUAUAUCUCUUCAAUUCCACCAAUUCCAAUACACGAUACAUUACGAAUCAGACCUAGCUGUUUAACAAAGGUAUGUACCGGAUGACGAUUAACUUUGAUGGUAUACUCCGAUUAUACUACCAUACUUUGAUUCAAAACGAUUCAUGGUCAGUUCAGUGGUCAUCAUUUUAUGAUAAGUGCACUCCUAUGGGGCGCUGUGGGUUAAAUGCAUAUUGUGUUCCCAUUGAUCAGGAUCCACCUUGUGUUUGUCUUCCUGGUUUUGUUUUCGUUGAUCAACGCCAAAGGUAUUUAGGCUGCAGAAGGUAGGCCUGACAAUUCCUGACACGACCCGAUAACCCGACACGACACGACACGAAAUUAACAGGUGUUCGGGUCGACACGAUAACGAAACGGGUCGUUAUCGGGUAACCCGAUAAGCACCUGUUAAGAUAACGGGUUGGUUCGGGUAUACACGUGGGUAACACGAUACACGAUAAGCAGAAUAUUAAUUUAAUAAUUUUAUAACCCUAAAAAAAUACUAUAAUAAUUAUAUAUAUUAAUUUAACAAUUUUAUACCCCUAAAACUAUAAUAAUUAUAAUAAUUAUAUAUACUAUAAUAAUUAUACCCCCAAAAUAUUAACUAUAAUAGUUAUAUAUAUAUAUAUAUAUUAAAUUUUAUACCCCUAAAAACUAUAAUAAUUAUACAUACAAAAUAAAUAGAUUUAAAUCUACUUAAUAAAUAAAUAUAUAUAUAUACACACACACACCAUUGAACUUCAUGGGAUACGAAUGAUACGAAACUAAUUUCAAUGAUCCAACCGUCAAAAUUGUUUGUAUAUGCUUCGAGAUCGCAUCAGCAAAAAAUUACAAAAAAAAAACAUUCACAGAUCAAGUAACGAGACAAAACUUUCCGACGGUUAUAAACGAAAAAUCACGAUUUAACGGUUAUUUUAACUCCGAUUUUGAUGAUUUUUUACAACUACACUCCUUGACCAUAUAUGAAUACAAUGAAUGAAUUCGAUCUUCAAUUUAAAAUAUUUACACUAGUGGAUACCACAAAAUCUUAUGUUAUACUUGAUGAAAGUAUGAAUAAACUUUUAAGUGUUAGUGAAUCUAUUGUUUUGAUGAGAUACGCAUUCUACGAAACUAGUUUCAACGAUCCAACCGUCAAACAUGUUUGUAUAUACUUCGAGAUCACAUACGCCAAAAAUUGCAAAAAACAAACAUUCAGAGAUCAAGUAACGAGACAAAACUUUUCGACGGUUAUAAACGAAAAAUCACAAUUUAACGGUUAUUUUAACUCCGAUUUUGAUAAUUUUUUACAUCUACACUCCUUGACCCUAUAUGAAUACAAUGAAUGAAUUCGAUCUUCAAUUUAAAAUAUUUACACUAGUGGAUACCACAAAAUCUUAUGUUAUACUUAAUGAAAAUAUGAAUAAACUCUUAAAUGUUAGUGAAUUUAUUGUUUUGAUGAGAUAAGCAUUGUGCGAAACUAGUUUCAACGAUCCAACCGUCAAACUUGUUUGUAUAUGCUUCGAGAUCGCAUACGCAAAAUAUUACAAAAAACAAACAUUCAAAGAUCAAGUAACGGGACAAAACUUUUCGACGGUUAUAAACGAAAAAUCACAAUUUAACGGUUAUUUUAACUCCAAUUUUGAUGAUUUUUUACAUCUACACUUCUUGACCCUAUAUGAAUACAAUGAAUGAAUUCGAUCUUCAAUUUAAAAUAUUUACACUAGUGGAUACCACAAAAUCUUAUGUUAUACUUAGCGAAAAUAUGAAUAAACUCUUAAGUGUUAGUGAAUCUAUUGUUUUGAUGAGAUACGCAUUUUGCGAAACUAGUUUCAAUGAUCCAACCGUCAAACUUGUUUGUAUAUGUUUCGAGAUCGCAUAUGCCAAAAAUUGCAAAAAAACAAACAUUCAGAGAUCAAGUAACGGGACAAAACUUUUCGACGGUUAUAAACGAAAAAUCACGAUUUAACGGUUAUUUUAACUCCGAUUUUGAUGAUUUUUUACAGCUACACUCAUUGACCCUAUAUAAAUACAAUGAAUGAAUUCAAUCUUCAAUUUAAAAUAUUUACACUAGUGGAUACCACAAAAUCUUAUGUUAUACUUAAUGAAAGUAUGAAUAAACUCUUAAGUGUUAGUGAACCUAUUGUUUUGAUGGAAUACGCAUUCUACAAAACUAGUUUCAACGAUCCAACCGUCAAACAUGUUUGUAUAUACUUCGAGAUUGCAUAUGCCAAAAAUUGUAAAAAACAAACAUUCAGAGAUCAAGUAACGAGACAAAACUUUUCGACGGUUAUAAACGAAAAAUCACAAUUUAACGGUUAUUUUAACUCCGAUUUUGAUAAUUUUUUACAGCUACACUCCUUGACCCUAUAUGAAUACAAUGAAUGAAUUAGAUCUUCAAUUUAAAAUAUUUACACUAGUGGAUACCACAAAAUCUUAUGUUAUACUUAAUGAAAAUAUGAAUAAACUCUUAAAUGUUAGUGAAUUUAUUGUUUUAAUGAGAUACGCAUUUUGCGAAACUAGUUUCAACGAUCCAACCGUCAAACUUGUUUGUAUAUGCUUCGAGAUCGCAUACGCCAAAUAUUACAAAAAACAAACAUUCAGAGAUCAAGUAACGGGACAAAACUUUUCGACGGUUAUAAACGAAAAAUCACGAUUUAAUGGUUAUUUUAACUCCGAUUUUGAUGAUUUUUUACAUCUAUACUCAUUGACCCUAUAUGAAUACAAUGAAUGAAUUCGAUCUUCAAUUUAAAAUAUUUACACUAGUGGAUACCACAAAAUCUUAUGUUAUACUUAAUGAAAGUACGAAUAAACACACUAGUGGGUCACUUUCAUUAAGCUUUGAGUUCCUGAUCGGAUCAUAUUUAUAUAUAUUUUUACUUCAAAUUCACUCGUCUUUUCUUAGUUAGUUCCUUAUAUUUUUGAGCUAUUUACGUUAUUUUUGUGUUUAUAGGAUUUGUUAUGCAAAGAAAAUAAAAAUGGCACAAAUGAGUUUUAAAUAAUAAAUUCGUAAAAAAUUGCUUUAGUCGUUCUCAUUCUGUCAUGGGUUAUUGGUAGAAUUAUGUCACGGAUUAUAGGGCAUGGAAAUUAGGCUAAAUUUAUUAGGUAUGCAUUAGAAAUUAUAUGAUAUAUCUAAAAUUGAAGUGUUUUGCAGUUGGUGAGUAAAGAAAAAAAAAAGAAUAAACAAAGUUGUUGGAGGGCUGCACAUUAAGGCACAGAAGGAAUAAAAAACUGCACUUGCAGCGUGAGUGUGGUGGGUGAGGCAUUAGCCUCGGGGGUGAGUGCGGAAAAGAAAGAAAAAUAAUAGGGGAAGUAGGGCAGCUACGUGGGCAGCGAAUAAAGGGAGAGAGGUGAGAAAUCAGCGCGAGGAGAAGACGGGAGAGACGUGAGGAGGGGGAAAGAAGCAGCUUAGCUGCCCCUGGCAGCCUUGGAAAAACAAGAAAAGCAGAAAAUAGAGAGGUCAGAGGCAGUUGCCUUGCGGCAGCAGGAACCGAGGAGAGUCAGGAAGACAGCUGCCCUUGGCAGCGUGAGCGUGAACACGUGCAGUGAGGUGCGAAGAAGAGACGCCAGCGUGAGACCAGAGGGUGGAUAGGGAGAAGCAGCAAAGCUGCAGUGCCAGCGACAGAAAAACAGAAACAUCAGAGCAGCAAGCUGCACAGAAAACAGAAGGCUUCAAUCUAUUUUCUUGGGGUUAAAUCUUUCCAAACUUUUAUUUUAUUUCUGUUUUUAAUAAUGUGUAAUUAAUUUUAUUUUGGCUAGAGGUUAAUUCGAAACCAUGAAUAUAUUUGUAAUAUGAAUUGAUUACCUUCAGUUGUGAUUUCUGAGUUGUGAUUUAAUUUGCUUAACUGCUUGAUAGAUAACUAAUUUUUGUAUGUCGAUUAAGGAUGCAUACUUAAUUUACAUGCAUGAAUUUGAUGCUAGAAUAUAAGUGAAUUUUACCUAAUCGUUAUGAACUUAUAUUCACAAGUAGUGAAGGUUGUUAACCACAAUCGUGUUAAGUAAAUUCUUGGCAUAAGUUUCAUGCAAUUCAUAGUAACAAGUGCCUCGUCAAUGCUUAUGAUUUUCAUAGAACUUAAUGAUUCUUGCUUGUAUCUCUAUUAUGCAAUUCAUGUAGGGAACUUGUGGGGAAUAUUUUGGGUUGUCGUAUGCAAUCAUCCAAUCCAUUAACUUAAGGAAAAUCUGAGAAUUAAUUUAUGCAAUUCAUGGUUAAUUUGGGGCGUUGAGAUUUACAAUUUAUUGAAAGAACAACUGAAAAUCAAUUUAGAUUGCUUAUGUGUCAUGUGUGGAGAAGAACCCUCUAGCUAGUCCGUCAUUUAUCAUUUUACCUUAAUUUUAUGUUUUUGUCAAUUCUGUAAUUUAAUUAAGUUUAAUUUACUUUUCAUCAAAACCAAACACCCAUCCAUUAUUAAAUUAUAUUUUUUUGUUAGUUUUCUUUAUUGUUAGUCUUUUAAUUUAAUUUCCGUCCAUUUCAGUUCCUAGUGUUUAAUUUAAUUGUUUUCAUUAUUUUGAGUCAUUUUAAGUGUGUUUCGAGUUAUUAGAGUUUUUAGCCUAAUUUUGUGUCCUUGAGUCUUGUUUAAUAUUUUUAGAUUAAUUUAGCAUAGAUUAGCAAUCCCUCAUAAUCCCCGGCCUAGAACGAUACCCUACUUACAUCUAUACUACAAUUGUCAAAAAGAGGGUUUAAUUUGUGUGUCAAGUAAUUCUCACAUCAAAUUUUGGCGCCGUUGCCGGGGAUUAGCAAAUUUGCUAAUCCCUUGUUUAUGUUUUUGUUUGUGUUUAUUUAUAUUUUUUUCUUUUUAUUAUUUUUGUGUUUUUGUCUUUUACUUUUGAUAUUUGAUUUAUUUUUCUUUCUUUGAAUUGAGGUACAAAUGGAGCAAGACCUGGAUUCUACUAGCAUUCAAGAUCUAUUGGCACAGCUCACUGCUCAAUUAACUCAUAAUGCCGAACGGACCACAAUGCCAAGUGUCCCUACACUUGAUGUGCCCUAUGGGCAAGGAUAUCAAAGUCCUCAAUUUUCUGCAAAUGAAGAUGUUUGGGGGUAUCAAGGCCAUAACCAAUCAAGGGGCAACAUGUUUUCCAAUGCUUACAAUUCUGAUUGGAGAGAUUAUUCAGAUUACAUGUGGGGAGAACCUCAACAAUUCCAACAUGGUAGAUAUUGGCAGCAAGAAGACGCGUUCUAUUCAAGACCUAUACAGCCACCACAGCAUCCCCCACAACAAUUCCAAUCGAAUCAAAGUAUGCCCGUGGAUUAUAAUCAAAUGCUUGAAGAAUUAAUUUCUUCGGUACAGGGUUCACAAAAAGAAGAACAAUUGCCGCCAUCGGAAGAGUUCUAUCAGUGGCCAUAUGAACCGUCACAGCCACCACAACAAUCAACCCAAUUCAAUUCAGGUACGUCCUUGGAUAAUGAUACACUUAAUAAUUUACUCACCUCUUUGAAUCAGGGAGUAGAAAAUCAAAACCAAGAGAUGCAAGACCGAGUCAGAAGAGUGGACGAAUUGGAUAUGCAUGUUGGGCAGAUUAUGGAAUUCAUGGCACAGAUUCAAGAGCAAAGUGAAGUCUCCAACUCAACUCUUGAAAAUUCAAAGGCAGAAGUUGAAAUCGAUAAAGCCAUCACCUUGGAAGGUGACAGGGAGGAUGAAGCUGUCCCAGAACCAUCCAAACACAGCCCGAACUUGGAUGAAUUGCUGCUGCAAGCAGAAGGGGAGGAGGACGACCUGGGCAGUUUAGAUGAAUUCUUGCUGCAAGCUCCUCAAAUUCCUAUGUCAUCCAACUCAGGUGAGGAAGUUCUAAAUUCACUUCAUUCUAACAUUAGUCCACCAAAUGUCCUUUUUCUUGCAGGUUUUUGAUUCCCAAGCAAGAAGAGAGUGAAAAGACAUUGUGGAAGCUAUUCCAAAGGUACAAAAGGAUAUUCCAAUUCUUGGUGCAACAAGCAAGUUCUAGAUCGUGUUGAAUUUUUCAAAGGCCUUUGUUUCCCAAGAAGAACGAUUUAAGAGAAUGAAGUGGUUGAAGCAGAUCAAGAAUUCAUCCAAGGGGCUGUGCAUGAGACAAUCAAGCCCAAAGCAGUUGAGUUUGAUGACCCGGGACAAGCCACAACUAUCAUAGUAAACCUGGCCAAGUUCAAAGUCCCGGAAAUGUUCAAAAAUGUGGUGUUUGUCAUUGAGUUUGUGCCGGAAAAAGAAAGUAAGUCAUCUUCUCCAAUUUUAAUUUUUAUUUAUACUAACAUGUUUCUUAUUUUGAUGAUUCAGGCACCCACUCUUGAAUUUAAACCAUUGCCGAAUCAUUUCAAGUAUCACCUCCCAUUAAAAGAUAAAUUCCAUGCUUUGGAGCCGAUGAGAGUUUAAAGGAAAGAUUCGUCCGGCUAAAGACGUUAAAUCAAGCGCUUCUUGGGAGGCAACCCAAGCAUUCAACGAAGGAAGACUUUGGAAUCGUUAACCCAAUCAGAUUUGCAUUCUUACACCCUUAUCUUUACUGCUUUCAUUUUGUUUUGUUUAGUUAGUUGUGUUAUUUGGUUGAUUUCUGUGAGUUUGUGUUAUUUAGUUUAAGUGUGGGGGAAGGUUAACCAAAGUCUUUUUACAUUAAUUUACAUAUAUAUAAAAAAAAUAAAUAAUAAAAAAAAAAGAUAAAAUUUAAAAAAAUAAAAUAAAAAAAAAUAAAAUAAAAAAAAAUAAAAAAUAAAAACAUAAAAGUACAAAUAUUUUACAAUGACUUAAACUAAUAGCAUUCAUUGGUCAGGUGGUGCUUCAGUAGUCGGCGGAGCUUCGGCAGUCGGCAGGGCCACAGAAGGAGGAGGCAGCAGAGGUUGAUCAGUUGGAGCUUCACUACGUGGUGCCGCUCCAGAAGACGAAGGCAGAUGUUGUUGGAACAAUCCCACAAACCUUCGAUGAUCAAGUAAAAUUUGACCAUCGGUGUCCUGCAUCUGGUCAAUCUUCCUCUUCAUGCUGGUGGCAUAGUUGUGUGCAAACUUAUGCAAUUGUUUAUUUUCAUGCUUGAGUCCCUAAUCUCCUCUUUGAGACUCUGUAUUUCAGCCACCAACGAUUCAACAUGACGGGUUCGGGCAAAUAGGCGUUGGGCCAUGUUGGACACAGAACCAGCACACUGCACGCUAAGAGCCAGAGACUCCUUAACCGCCAAUUCAUCAGACCGUCUAGCGAGCAGUCUGUUAUCUCUGGGAGUGACAAGGUUCCGGGCCACCACCGCAGCGGUCAUGUCAUUUUUUCACCGAAUCCCCCACGGUAAGAGGACCGGUGGGAGAUAUGAAGGAUGGGCGCCAUAUGUUGUCUGGUGAAGGCGGAGCUGCCUCUUCACCACGGUUGAGGUCAAAACGACGAUCGGAAGGGCCAGACAUUUUUCAGAGGUGGUGAAGAAAGAAGAGAGUCGGACUGAUCAAGAUUUCGGAAGUGCAAGAAGGGAGUGUUUACAGGAGGGAGCUCAAGUGUGUUGUGGAACAAAAUUAACGCCUCUAUAAAAAGAAGAAUUCAAAGAGGCACUCCUCAGAAAUCGAUGAAGCGUCCUCUCACAAAUCGAAGAGUCGAGGAGUUUCCGUUCUCAAAAGCCGGAUUCUUUUCUCAAAAGAGGCGUUCAUUUCUUAAAAGUUGGGCUUGCUCAGAAACCACGAGCCGAACCCCGGAUUUCGCAAGAUCAAUUCGUCCAGACGUGUUGUCACCCGUCACACGCAAACUCAGCUCUGCGAAAAUCACGGGCAGUCUGUCGAAGUGCCGAUUCCAACCAUCUGUCUCUCUCAGCCUAGUCAGCAUUUGUCACAUGCAACUGGCAGCUUUGCGGAAAUUACGGGCAGCUUUGUCAGAAAGCGCGUAAUUUGUACUAUUCAUCCAUCCACCGGCUGCCGACAAUGAGUGAGAGAACAGUUCCGGUUGUGAAGACAAGUCCUAUAAGUUUCUACCUUCGCCUUCCACAGCAAAAGCACACUCUCUCAGCACACCCUCUCAACUCUUCUUCAUCUCCGAAAAUGCAUUCCCAAAGAAUCCUUCUCGAGUCACUCUGUGUUCCUCAUUCCUUGGGAUACUCCUGCGAACAACCCAUUCAAAGCAAAAGUAUUUCAUAUCAUAAAGGUUGAAAGCAAGAGUAUCUCAUAUCAUGCUUUCUCCAUGUCCUUCUCCUUGUCUUUGUUUUCCGACAAGGAGAAGGAGAGCAAUCAGCCAGCAUUUGGUAUCAAUCUUCCGAUCUGGAGCCAACUGCCUGGAACCCCUUCCUGAUUGCUUACCUAGCCUUGCUCUCGAGUACUCAUCUUCAUCAUCUUUAUGCUUUCCUCUUUUGUCUACCACAUCUACCUGGGGGACAGUAAGGGAAGUGAAAAUGAUACCUCGAAGCAUGUGGAGACAAUUCAGCUAGGGACAAGGAGAAAGAAAGCAAGAGGUGGGCACUUGGAAAGAUUGAAGAAAGAAAUCAAGGACCAAACCUCUACCUCGUGCCUGCCCGCCAUGCAGAGGAAACAAGCAGAGAAGAAUGCAGACUGAACUGAAAUCCUCGCUCAGAAUUCCAAAUCAGUUCAAGAGGAAAGCUGUGGAAAGUCAACAAGCACGACCAAUGAUUCACUUAUUAGUUUCUAUUCAUUAUCUUUUAUUUUCAUUUUCAAUUUUUCGUUUGCAAUUUUUUCUAAUUAAUUUUCUUGCGUACUUAACUGAAUUAUUUCUUUUCUUUGCAGGAACUUUUGGUUAUUUCCACCCUUGAAGUUGAUUGCAGAAUUUUAGCUUGGGGGGUCAUCGCUUGAUUUUACUGCAAAUUAGGGAAGUUUUCAGUCCAAUUGCUUUAUUUUGUUUUUUAUUAUUUUGUUUAUUUUAUUUAUUUUUGCAUUAUAGUGUUUUCUGACAUUGGGGACAAUGUCCAGUUUAAGUAUGGGGGUAAAGGGUAAAAAUGACCAAAUUGAAAUUUUUUGUACCUUCAACUUCGAACUGGUUUCAUUUGUUUCUGUGUUGUUGCUUUUUAUUUUUUAGUUUUGUUUUCUCUAUAAAAAAAAUAAAAAAAAAAAAAUCGGAAAAUUUAAAAAUCCAAAAAUAUUGUCUUGUUUUCCUUAUUGUUUUGAAUUAGAUUUUUGUUAGUUUCCCGACCCAAUGAUAUAAUUGGAUAAAAUUUGAACCAUGAUCAUCAAGAACUUAGUUAACAUGUGUUUUUGUGAAAUUCCUAAUUCUCGUUGUUAGUUUUGUACAUGUUUGAUCAUCUUUGAAAAACCAAAUGCACAUAGCCUUGUUGAUGUGAAACUAAAGCAUGACUUAAAGCUUCAUAUGUGAAUUUAGUGACCAUAUACAUCCUAUGUGAGUUUUUGAGCCUAUUGAAAGUGUGUGCAUUUUUCAUACACUCCUAUUCUUUCAUGUGUGAUGAACUUAUGUGAGAUACAUCUCUAGAACUUGCGUAACGAUCUUUCGAAAUGUUUGUCCUUGAUUGCAUGAACUUGGAAAUGAUAGAGGCAUUAGGUUUACCAUGGCCCAAAUAACCAUGUUUCCCAAAGAAAAAUGAUAUCAUUAGAUUGCCAAUUUGAGCCGUAUAUGUUGAACCUUUUGUUUCUUAUCACCAGAUAUGUCUACCCUUAUACCUGAAACAUUUUUCCUUACCCUUUUCCAAGCGAGCAAUGCGAGAUUGUCUUAUGAGAAACGUUUGUUAAGUACUGUGAAGGUGUUUGGCAAAAGAAUAAGUGUGGGGGUAUUUCAUGUUUGUAUUUCAAAAAAAAAAAAAAAAAAAAAAAAAAAAAAAAAAAAAAAAAAGAAAAAGAAAGAUUGUAUACAAAGAAAAUAAAAGUUUUUAAAGUUUCAGUUUAAGGUUGUGGUUGGAGGAUGUCUAGAAGAAUCGUUGGAGAGCUUGAGUUCUUAUAAAUCUAAAGAAAAGAAUUGCUUGCAAUGUAGCUUGGAACUUGUGUUUUCCUAUUCUUUCGUUUCAAUAACCCUAUCCCUAAACCUCAUUACAUCCAAUAAAAGUCCUCUUGAUUUAAGUUUUGCAAUUAUGACUGUGGAGAAGUGAUCUUUAUGCAAGCUUAUGGUAGAAAUUUCACAUUUGUUUCUUUGAGCGAAACACAUUAAAACUAAAACACAUGUGUGAUUGAGUGCAUAUCCCGUGAGAAGGUCGCUAGUUUGCAUAUGAUGAUUUUAAAAAUAAAAACUUGAAAUUGCAUUAGCAUGACUAUCUCACACACUACACUUCAAGGAUGAUUCAAAGAUUACUGCUAAUAUUUGAAUAAGAUGAACUUGGAUUAGUUUGUUUGACGCUAGCUAUGGUUCUUGAUGAUUUGUUUUCUCGAAUGAAAUUCUAUGAGGGUCACAUAGGGGGAAACUAAUGUUUUUCAUGUUAUUACUUUUUCAUGUCUCUUUGUUUUGCUCGAGGACUAGCAAAAGCUAAGUAUGGGGGUAUUUGAUCGGAUCAUAUUUAUAUAUAUUUUUACUUCAAAUUCACUCGUCUUUUCUUAGUUAGUUCCUUAUAUUUUUGAGCUAUUUACGUUAUUUUUGUGUUUAUAGGAUUUGUUAUGCAAAGAAAAUAAAAAUGGCACAAAUGAGUUUUAAAUAAUAAAUUCGUAAAAAAUUGCUUUAGUCGUUCUCAUUCUGUCAUGGGUUAUUGGUAGAAUUAUGUCACGGAUUAUAGGGCAUGGAAAUUAGGCUAAAUUUAUUAGGUAUGCAUUAGAAAUUAUAUGAUAUAUCUAAAAUUGAAGUGUUUUGCAGUUGGUGAGUAAAGAAAAAAAAAAGAAUAAACAAAGUUGUUGGAGGGCUGCACAUUAAGGCACAGAAGGAAUAAAAAACUGCACUUGCAGCGUGAGUGUGGUGGGUGAGGCAUUAGCCUCGGGGGUGAGUGCGGAAAAGAAAGAAAAAUAAUAGGGGAAGUAGGGCAGCUACGUGGGCAGCGAAUAAAGGGAGAGAGGUGAGAAAUCAGCGCGAGGAGAAGACGGGAGAGACGUGAGGAGGGGGAAAGAAGCAGCUUAGCUGCCCCUGGCAGCCUUGGAAAAACAAGAAAAGCAGAAAAUAGAGAGGUCAGAGGCAGCUGCCUUGCGGCAGCAGGAACCGAGGAGAGUCAGGAAGACAGCUGCCCUUUGGCAGCGUGAGCGUGAACACGUGCAGUGAGGUGCGAAGAAGAGACGCCAGCGUGAGACCAGAGGGUGGAUAGGGAGAAGCAGCAAAGCUGCAGUGCCAGCGACAGAAAAACAGAAACAUCAGAGCAGCAAGCUGCACAGAAAACAGAAGGCUUCAAUCUAUUUUCUUGGGGUUAAAUCUUUCCAAACUUUUAUUUUAUUUCUGUUUUUAAUAAUGUGUAAUUAAUUUUAUUUUGGCUAGAGGUUAAUUCGAAACCAUGAAUAUAUUUGUAAUAUGAAUUGAUUACCUUCAGUUGUGAUUUCUGAGUUGUGAUUUAAUUUGCUUAACUGCUUGAUAGAUAACUAAUUUUUUUGUAUGUCGAUUAAGGAUGCAUACUUAAUUUACAUGCAUGAAUUUGAUGCUAGAAUAUAAGUGAAUUUCACCUAAUCGUUAUGAACUUAUAUUCACAAGUAGUGAAGGUUGUUAACCACAAUCGUGUUAAGUAAAUUCUUGGCAUAAGUUUCAUGCAAUUCAUAGUAACAAGUGCCUCGUCAAUGCUUAUGAUUUUCAUAGAACUUAAUGAUUCUUGCUUGUAUCUCUAUUAUGCAAUUCAUGUAGGGAACUUGUGGGGAAUAUUUUGGGUUGUCGUAUGCAAUCAUCCAAUCCAUUAACUUAAGGAAAAUCUGAGAAUUAAUUUAUGCAAUUCAUGGUUAAUUUGGGGCGUUGAGAUUUACAAUUUAUUGAAAGAACAACUGAAAAUCAAUUUAGAUUGCUUAUGUGUCAUGUGUGGAGAAGAACCCUCUAGCUAGUCCGUCAUUUAUCAUUUUACCUUAAUUUUAUGUUUUUGUCAAUUCUGUAAUUUAAUUAAGUUUAAUUUACUUUUCAUCAAAACCAAACACCCAUCCAUUAUUAAAUUAUAUUUUUUUGUUAGUUUUCUUUAUUGUUAGUCUUUUAAUUUAAUUUCCGUCCAUUUCAGUUCCUAGUGUUUAAUUUAAUUGUUUUCAUUAUUUUGAGUCAUUUUAAGUGUGUUUCGAGUUAUUAGAGUUUUUAGCCUAAUUUUGUGUCCUUGAGUCUUGUUUAAUAUUUUUAGAUUAAUUUAGCAUAGAUUAGCAAUCCCUCCUAAUCCCCGGCCUAGAACGAUACCCUACUUACAUCUAUACUACAAUUGUCAAAAAGAGGGUUAAUUUGUGUGUCAAGUAAUUCUCACAUCAGUUCCAUUGGCAAGGUUUAAACUUUUGAGAAAUGCUUCACAACUUUGAAAACAAAAACGCUUUCAUUUUGCAUAUCCUUGCACAUUUAAUAUUUGUAAUAGAUUAGUAGUGUAUGGAUGUAUUUUUUAUGAGGCUCUUAUUUUCGAGUACAUAAGCGACAAAUGUGUUUUAAUAUUUUGAAGUAAUAUUUAUGUGACAAUGUGUGGUAUGUGCAAAUUUAAGAAAAAAAAAUAUUUUUCUUAACGGGUCAUAACGGGUCGGGUCACUUUACCCAUUGGGUAAAGUGACCCGACCUGUUAAGGACCCGUUAAGAUAACAGGUGUGACACGACACGACCCGUUAAGAUAACAGGUGUUACACGAAAACGACACGAACACGACUGACACGACCCGUUUGCCAGGCCUAGCAGAAGGUAUGUAAGUACUAUUGGUUGCCCGGACGAGAACAAAAUUACAUAUUCCAUUGCUGAUCUGGAUGGCCUUGUGUGGGAGAACACCCCAUAUUUUGUUCUCAACAUUAAUGAGACUGCUUCUUAAGAUGACUGCUUGAGAGAUUGCAAUUGUGAAGCUGCAGUUUAUCAUGACUAGUUGUGCCAAAAACAGAGGUUUCCGCUAAGAUUUGGAAGAACUGGAAAAAGUGGCUCAACCAUGAUCAAAGUUGUCACUGAGAGUUCAGGGACAAAAACUGUAAGCAAAGCAAGGUAAGAACAACUUCGAACAUGAAUCUUUAUUGGCGGUAUUGCAAUGCUAAGUUUUGCACUUAUUAUUCUAGCAAUUACUGGUUUUGUUAUUUAUAGAUACUGUGUUGCAGAUUACGAAAAGAUUUCGAAUUCAAAAAAUGAUGGGUUUGUAGAAGAUGUCACGCUGCGAUCAUAUACAUAUUGUAAGCUUGAAAAGGCAACCAAAGGUUUUAGUGAUCAAGUGGGCAAAAGACCAUUUGGGACAUUUUAUAAAAGGGUCAUACCAUCAAAUGGUGGGAGAGUAGUGGCUAUCAAGAAACUAGAGAAGGUGAUGGAUCAAGGAGACUGGGAAUUCCGAAAUGAGAUGAACGCAAUAGGAAGGACGCAUCAUAAAAAUCUGGUUAAAUUGCUUGGCUACUAUCACGAUGGAUCAAAUAGGCUUCUGGUUUAUGAGUACAUGACCAAUGGCUUGUAAUAGCAACCAUACAAGCUCUAUAACAAACUAGCCAAGAACAUAAGAUUUAACCAAGUCACAAUCAUCACUCCAAAUAUAUUCUGUAUAUGCAAACACUGAAGUAAUUUCUGCAACACAUACCUGCAGACUGUUUGACGAAGUCUUUCUCAUGUGUGUAUGCCAUUAGGUCAUGAGUAAGUUCAACUUACAUUCCCAAUAGUCUUCUGGAUAAUUGCAACUCGCUGUAAUGCCUUCUCAGAUUCCAAAGCCCGAACUCUAAGCUUCAUAUCACCUUGUUCCAAUCUUUGUAUAAUUUCAGCAAGCUUUUCAACUCUGUCAGCAUGUUCAUGGAUGAAGAAGCCAUGGACGAAUCUACACACAACCUUCUCCUCUCUGCAAAACUCAAUGCUCUUCAAGUUAUAGGUAAUUGGAACAAUAAAAGCAUGUUUUUGUGAGAGCAGGGGUUUGUGGUUUUUAUACUACAAAAUCUAGAUUACCUUAUAAUAAUCCUACAAGGAAUACAAGACCAAAUCCUUGUACAAGUAUGAGUUCUAUUCUUGAGCCAACAGUAGAGUUUCAAUCCAAACCAAAGUUAAAUUAACUCUUAUAAACACAUUAAGACCUCUUUAUACCAAUCUGAAAUAACAAUGAUUAUUACUAAGCUGUGAGAAUCACACUCAUACUCUAACAUAGCUCACUUGCAGAUUUCUUUUUCCGAUCGGAUGGAAGACCAACUUGGAAGGAAAGAAUUGGCAUAUGUCUCAAUGUAACUUGAGGCAUACUUUAUUUACAUGAAGAGUGUGACACACAGAUCAUCCACUGUGACAUCAAAUCGGAAAAUAUACUAAUGAGUGACCAAAAAUGUGCAAAGCUUGUUGAUUUUGGUCUUGCCAAGCUGCUAAAGCUUGACCAAACUAGGACAUAUACCGGGUUAAGAGGAACAUGGGGUUAUGUUGCACCUGAGUGGCAUAGAAACGUUCCCAUAACAGUGAACAAAUGUAUACAGCUUUGGGGUUGUGUUAUUGGAGAAUAUGCUGCAGAAGAUGUGUGAAUAUGGACAUACUUGAAGAUCAAGUUAUCCUUGAGAAUUGGGUAUACCAUUGUUUGGAAGCCGACGAACUGGAUAAGCUAGUGAAGGAUGAAGAUGUUGACAAGAAUGAACUUCAAAUGAUGGUUAAGGUAGGACUUUGGUGCAUCCAAGAUGAGCUAGCAUUUCGCCCUUCGAUGAAGAAGAUCAUACUAAUGCUGGAAGGGACUGUAGAGAUACCAAACCCGCCAAGUUUUACCUCCAUUUCUAGUUCCAUUUCCUGACUAAGCCUUGUUGUUAACUGAUUAGGAAACUAGCUAGCUUCUGUGUAAUUUUGUUGCAGCGUUGGUUUUGUUGUUUGUUUUAGUUUUAAGUAAAGUUUAUCUUCAUGUACUAUGCUACAAUCUGAUCCGUACAAAAUGAAUAACAAGUAAAUUUCAUACUUCACCGAGCAUACAAAUUAGGUGGUGUAUGGUUUCUUUAAUUUAGGUGAUAAGUCUAUCAAUGUAUACAAUGAAGCAGAAGAAAAUCUUUCUCACCGGCGUGUGUGGGGUUUCAUUCUCAUUGAUCUGCGUCAGCACCUGCCCUAGCUUAGGCUAGGCUUGGUGAUUGUCCCAUGGUUUCCUGUGUAGUUUGUUUUUGUGGUUUAGUUUUCAGUUUUAUCUAGCUCUUCAUGAUCUAUGGGAGAGUGUAGAGCUUUAGUUCAUGUGUUCCCACCAUCAUCCUUGUUGGCCCUUGUUGGUCCUUCCCAUUGUCCACCCUUGUCGGCGAUAUUUCUCGUGGGUUUACACCUACAUGCUUUCUUGGUCUCGUGGUGGCGAUCCUUGUGUUGGUCCAUAGUGGAUGAUAUGGCCUCUUUCUUCACCAAUUUCGAGUUUCUUCAUUGUGUGAUCCCUAGUAGGGGUGAGCACGGGCUGGGCCGGGCCCAUUUUUUAAGGAACCGGACCGGACAUGAGUUUAAAAUAAAUGGGCCGGGCCGGGCUGGGUACAUCAUAUUUCAAUACAGAAAUCAGACCUAACCUGGCCCGUUUGAAACGGGCCGAUCCGGGCCAGGUCCACGGGUCUUUUUUUUUUCUCUCUCUGUUUAAGAUUGAUUCAGCUCCAGAACCCAGUUCCAAAUUGCAAUUCCAAUUCCAAAUCCAGUUCCAAAUCGUCACCAAACCUAGUUCUUACUUUAAUGUUCUUCAAUCUUUACAUGAGCAUACCUCUCUCUAGAUCUUUUGCUUUCUGCAAAAAUGGCUCAGAAUACGUUUUUCUAAUUGGCCUUUUUCUUAGCAUUAUUCACACUCACUUCACUCUCCCACAUCCUACGCGAAUCCGACCCCUCAACUCCUCCGCCUUCUCCCUCCAACUCCACCCCCGCGACGCCCUCUUCAAUUUCCAGCACAAAGACUACAAAUCCUUCACCUUAACCAGCCUCGACCGCGACUCGGCCCGAGUUAACUCGCUUCAAACCAAGCUCCCCUUGGCACUCCAGGGGAUCAAAAAUCAGAUUGCGACUGCGAUGAUGUCGGGGUGGUGGAGGAGAUGACUGACGGAGAGUGGGUGGAACCGUAAAGGGGAAGGGACGAUGCAUGCGAGACGACAAGAGAUGUAACCAAUGAUAGAACAUAUACAUCUAGCAACCUGGGAAAACUUAGGGAUCUUUAUAGAGAUGUAAGUGAUCAAAAAGGAGAAACCAGUAUGGACAGGAUUCCCAGGGGAGAUGGUGGUGGUGGUGAAGAGGUGAUUAGACUUGGCGAUUCUCGUUGGAAAUAGCACGGAGAGAGAGAGAGAGAGAUCGAGAGAGAGAGAGAGAGAGAUUGAGAAUCGAGUCGACAGAUCUGAAAGGGAGGAUUGAAGAGAGGAGAGUAUUCGAGAAGAUUUGAGAAAAUAGGAGAGGAAUAGGAAAAUGUUACAAACGGGCAGUUCGAGUACCCGUUUUCUUACACUUUUGGAAUCGGCCCGCCCCUAAAAUUUCAAAGCCCCGGCCCGCCUUGCCCCGUUUCUUUAAAAAAAUUAGGAACCGGCCCGUACCCGCCCCGAACCGCGAUUACCCGCCCCGACUCGCAGUUCCUAUACCCGUUUGCCCACCCUUAAUCCCUAGUGAUUGUGGAGGGAGGCGGACAGUUGUGCGGAUUUCUAGUGGCGGCGUUUCUAGGAUUUUCUAUGUAGUUUGUUUGUGUGUGAUGGGCUCUAAGUUUCUUAGGAUGUUUUCUUAUGUGCGUUUGUGGCCCAUUUUCUUUUUUGUGCUUAACUUGUAAUGGGCUUUGUUGUACUUGUUUUGGUUAGUAAGGAAAUGUACAAUUUAUAAAAGAGAGUUUUAACGAAAAACUCACGGUACUGUUCACUUUAAUGAAAAACCACAUUUUUACACUAAAAAGUCAAACUUGGUACUAUUCACUUUACCUUUUAUUUUGUCCUUAUCGUUAAAAGUCAAAGUUUUCAAGCCAUUUUCAUUAAUUUUCCUUUUAUAAAAUAAAUAAAUAAAUGAAGUGAUGCAAACUUUAGGGUUACUUACAUUUUAUACCUUUUAGGUUUGAAGUGUUUUUAAAAAUUGGUCAUGAGGUUUCCAUUUUUUCAAACUGCACGUUUACACCUUUUGUCUAUUUGAACGUCUAAUUAUCCAUUAAAUUGAUGAGUUUUUGGGUCAAUUUGGUACAAAUGUGGCUAUACAUAUCAACCCAAUUAUGUGUUCCACGCUCGCAAAGUUAUCAAUUUAAUGAAGACUCAAAACAUUUGUUAGACAAAAAACAUAAUUGAUACAGUUCUAAAAUCUCAAGGUGUAGUGUGAAAAAGUGAAAUCUUAUGGCCCAAUUGACACAGAACGUUAUGUGACAAUUUACUUGAGUAGAAAAAAAAACUCGAGCAUCAUGAUAUUUUGAUGUGAAAAAAAAAACGCAAACGUUUGCUUUUUUUUUUUUUUUUUUUUUUUUUUUUUUUAACAAACGAUAUUAUCUACACUAAGGUGGAAGAAGAUGAAGCUUAGCCUUACAAUAAGCUAAUAAUAAUAUGGUUCAAAUUCGUCUUUGACGAGAAUCGAAUCUAAGACCUCUUACUUACUAAUAAAGAAUGGUAAGCCUUUCUCUAUUGCCCCAAAAAAAGAGAGUAGUCGUUGUCUCAUUUGACGGAUUGAAAUAACGGAGUUUAGUGUCCGAUUAAACCAAGGGGAGCAUGAGUGCAAUUUGACUCACUCCUUAACUUGGCAAAGCAAUCCGGCCGGUCCAAGUGUACUGAUGAUCCGCGUGGCAAAAUCCCUGCUAAACUGCCGAAGGGAACCAAUGAGGCCUCCCGCAGCAAAACUACUCUAAAGAAUAAACACGCGAUCUGAGUCGUCGGCGAGUAUCGACGUCAAAAACCAUUCGCUGGAGCAAAGCAGGUCACUGAAAAUAAAUAAAUAAAAAUUAAAAAAAAACACGGAAGCUGAAGCUGUUGCGGGAAAAAGCUUGAUCAGAUUAGGGUUUCGCGAAUUCGAAUCGCCGAAAAGGUUCAAUCAAGUUAGGGCUUUUAUCAAAAUUUUAGUUAUAAUUGCUUAGUUUGUUUGCUGAAAUUUGGAAAUUUGCAGGAUAACUGAAAUGGGGGACGGCCUAUGGAACCGGCAGCAGCAGCAGCAGCAUCAACUUGGUCCCUCUGGCGGCGUGCAUAAACGACCUCGUUCUGACUACGGUACGUUCUCUGUGGCCGUGUCUCAUAGUUAUUUUCUUUAAUUGGAUGGAACUGUGAUUGGAUUUUUUGCAUUAUAGAUUUAGUUGUCUAACAAUUUAAAUAUGUGACCUUUUUUGUUUUUUAUUCGAGCGAUAUUAUAGUCUAAUCGAAACUAUGGGGAGUGGAGGAUCUGAACUUGGGUGUAAAGAGGGAGCACACUGCUCAAGUGUUAGCUCGAAGUCUGAUUUUUGUGCCAUAAGUGUUUUUGCUUUAGUAGUUCUUGAUGGGUUUUCGGGUUUCACUGUAAAAUUAUGUUCAAAAUGGUGAAUUUUGUGUGUAGAGUAUCUAUCGUUGACAAAGAUUCCAGUUCGGUUGUCUGAUGACUCUGCUUGUUUUUAUCUCCAAUUAUUCCUGCAGAUAUGCAGUUUCUGGUUUUGUAGCUAGGUGCCUUCUUUUCUUUUCCUUUUUUUGAAAAAAAAUGAAAAAUGUUUGCUUCUGUUUUUAUUCUUACAUCUUCAGGUACUUCAUGAAGUAUAUAAUAUAGUUUAGCCUUUUUGUUACACUUGCUACAAUUGGGGUGAACAGUCAUACUUGUAUGAUUCCAUAUCAUAAUGUAUCUUUCAAGAAAGCUUUACUAGCAGAUGAUUUCUGUCGUUAUUUUCUUUGUAACCAAAUCACAGUUUGUCGCUCUUAUGUUUCUUUCAGUCCAUACUGAAUAAGCUGAACCCAAGAAAACCUGGUUCAGUGUGGUUGUUGAGACCUAUGUGCAAAAUGAAAAGUACUACAUUACACGGUACUUAAGAAUGGGUAUUUUCCCCAACCCAACCAAAUCCCAAACCUCUAAAAUGAUAUCAAGUAGAUUCUUCCCUUUAUGUGCGGCCAGUCUUCCAAUCUAAUGCUAUUUUUCAAUAAUGAUGGUAAUAAGAUUCCCCAUACAUAUUUAUGAUGCAUAUUAUUGAUAUAAAUUUUGAUAACCAAAUCCCCUUUUUUUGUUGAUUUAGUUAUUUGUCUGUUGAAUAGUUCUUGUUAUAAAUUCAUAGUCACGAUCAAAAGCAUAGCCUUGUAUAGUCUUAUGUAGAUGUUUCGAUUGGUAUGUUUUCUUUGUACUUUUGAACCUUGAAAGCAGUUUUACUAGUUCAUCACCACCUUGUUUGUUAACUGCUAGAUGAGGUAUAUUCUACAUCCCCCUAUUACUUCUCAACUGGUUUCUUGAUUUAUGUUCUUUCAUUUCUUCUUUUUAUGCCUUUUCUCUUGUUCAAUAGUUGUAAUAUUUACAGCUGAAUUAUGUCUGUUUGUUAAUGUUUUCUCAGUGUCUUGCCUUUUUCAUAAAGGGUAAAAUAUGCGUUCCGUGCAUUAAUUUUGUCAAGGAUCUCAACUUUUAUUUUUCAAGUUAGGAAACAACUUUUCCCCAAUUUAUUUUGUUUUCAGGGGAAAUGUGAAACAUGGUGAAUAGUUAGAAACACAGAUAGGAACCUUUCAACUGGAAUGAGUAUCUCAGUCUUCCUCAGAGCAUCUGUUGUUGGCCCUCACUUUUAACGUUUGUCGCCUCUCUCUGCUUUUCUUUCUCCUUUGUAUCUCGUCUCUCACACUCUCUCUACACCCUAAAAACCUGCACUCCAGCCCCACUCCCAAAGCCUGUCUGAGAGCCAUUCUUCGAAACCAAUAUGUGGACCCUCUUCUUCUUCAACACUCCCCCCCCCCCCUCUCUCUCUCCCUCUCUCCCUUCUCAAUGUUGUCAUCUCUGUCUCAGAUGUGAAACCAUUUGGUUGUGGAUAAUAAGUUUGAUGUGAAUAAUUCUUACGUGAUAAAUUUGAAUGAUAGAAUUUGGUAUCAUUUCAAGUUAAAUGGAGUCGACAAGAAUUUUGUUGAACUUGUGGAGAAAUGGAAGAUGCUACUUGUAUCAGAUAUAGAGCUGAUAUUGGAUAUUUGACAUUGCUUUAUUUCAUUGUAUCAGUUUCUUUGUGGUGUCGAAAUGGUUAUGGUACUUGUAUGGCAUAUAGAGCUGAUGUUGGAUGUUUGAUGUUGCUUUAUUUUGUUGUAUCAGUUUCUUUUUGGUGUUGGAAUGGUUAUACUGUACUUGUAUCUGUUUCUUUAUCUCUUCUUUUGGUGAUGCUUUAUAUUACUUUAUUUUAUUUUUAAAUCUGGAAUGGUUAUACUGUACUUGUAUUGGGUGUAUAUUUGGUGUUGGAUGUUUGAUUGAUAUGAAUGUUCCAGUUAAAAGGCUCUAACUCACAAUGGUUUUGGUUAGAUUUGCUACGUCCAUGGGAUAAGUCAAUUUCACUUUUGUGCCAUUUAAAGGGGCUCUAACUCACAAUAAAUGUUUGGUUCAUCCGCACGUCUUGUCAAAAUGCAUUAACAUUGGUUAUGUGUUUGGUUAUAAUACUUAGUUGAAGCUAAUUUUCAAAUAUUGCUGCUUAAUUGCAAAUUCUGUAAUUCAAUCCUUUCUCAUACUAACAAUGAAUUCAUUUUCACUGUUUUUGUUUUAAGAAAUAGUUUUCAAACUAUUCUACCAGACGCAUUCUCUAAUGUUAAAAUGCAAAAAUAUUAUCUUGUUUUCAUUUUUUGAAAACGUUUUAUGCAGAUGGUUUUGGAAAACAUCACCAGACAGGUCCUUACUUUUCUGUAUUGUCAACCUGUCUUCAGGUCAAGAGAUGCAUGGUUAUUUUGCACGAGAGGAUGAUAUUGGCGGUCCUAGGACUGUAAAGGAUAGCAGAUCAAUCGGAUCAGCAUAUGACCGCUAUCUUCAGAAUGCGGUGACUUUCUUAAGCAUUUGAAACUAUGCUUAUUAUUCAUUGUGAUACAGCUCCCUGUUUUUGUAUUUGUACCAAAACAUUAUCCUACUUUCUUUUAAAGGAAAUGCCUUCGUACACUUCUGGAGAAGCGAGUACUUUUGGUGGAGCUGGAAUGGGAAGGGCUGUUGGUGGUGGAAUGUCAGGUCCUCCAAUGGCUGAUCAUUCUAUGAGGGGUCGUCCUGGAGCUAUGUCUUCUGAUCUACUAACAAAUGGUCGAAAUAUGAAUCUUGCUAAUCAGCUCCCAGUAGAUGCAACGGCUAGGCCUGGACGUGAAACAGUUCCUUUGCCUCUGGAUGCAUCCAGCACUUUAUAUGUUGAAGGACUUCCUCCUGACAGCACAAGGAGGGAAGUAGCUCGUAUCCUUUAUGAUCUUUCUAUUAUGCUUAAGAGUUAGUGCAUUUUGCUGUUUCCAAUCUUAUUGCUUAACCCAAUAAAUUUUCCAUCGCUGAUCCUUUACAUUACUCCAAGAUAUCUUUCGUCCUUUUGUGGGAUACAAAGCAGUGAGGCUUGUGAGCAAAGAGUCCAAACAUGUAUGUGGGGGAGGAUUAUUGUAAACAAUUACUUUUCUUAGUCAUUCUGUUUUUAUUGUUCACUCUGACUUGAGAUUCUUGUUGUGCUACUUGAUUUGACUUUUGGGAAGUUUAUAAUCUGUCUUCACACUAAUAUUCCGGUUUGUCCAUAAUGCAGCGUGGUGGGGACCCUCUUAUUCUUUGUUUUGUGGAUUUUGAAAAUCCAGCCUGUGCAGCAACUGCUAUGAGUGCGUUGCAAGGUGAUUGCUUUUUCUUGUCAUCAACCUUGGUGGCUAUCAGUUUCAAAGAAAGCUUGUUUCUUCCUUUUGUUUUUAUUUGUUUCCUUUAUAACUUUGUAACUGCUAUUUCAAUGGUACCUUAUUCAAUCAUGUAAAUGGUAAAUUUAUGCUAGAAUUCUUCAUGCAUAGCCAGGUGUAAAGAGGAUGAGGCAGUUCACAAAAAUGUUAUAGAUGGUUUCUUGUAAUUGGAGUUUAUGAUACCUCUACACUCUAGAUCCUGUAGAACUAGCUUGCGUUGCUCAUUAUAAUUUCCCAUGCUAGUGGUUUUUGAAAUGCUGGAAGAUGCUGACAUUUGUGUUGCUUUCGCAGGUUAUGAAAUGGACGAACACGCUCCAGAUUCUAAUUACUUGCGGCUGCAGUUUUCUCGGUUCCCAGGUCCCAGGUCUGGACCUGGACGUAACAAGAGGUGAUAGGCAUUAGGUAAUGAGAAACAUCUGUGUUGACGUAAUCAAGAUUAUAUUAGCUCUUAUACAUUCCAUAUAUAUUCUCCUUUCUGUAGUGGUAACCACAUUGUACCCAGAAUAUACAAUGUUAAUUGCUCAGGCUUGGGCACACACUAACUGUAAGUACUUGUUAUGCACGCUGUUGUUUCCAGGUAGUGAAUUCAGAUAGUUUUAUAGUAGUUCUAUUUAACGGAGAUCUGAUUUUGCAUUUCCAUGGUCUACGAAAUUUACUGAAGGAAUGUUUUUAAUUCUGAAUAUCUUCUUCUCUUUGACGAAAUUUACUGAAGGAAUGUUUUUAAUUCUGAAUAUCUUCUUCUCUUUGACAAUAUACCAUGUAUAGACUACCGCAAAAUUAGUAGAGAUAGUUUCCAUACAGAUUGUUUCCAUAUUCUGGAGGACUUCCAUUGCCGGAGUAUCUUGCCACCAUAGUGUCCCGUGCCAAUGACAUAAUGUGUUGUGGAGACACUUCAAAUGGCACUAGGCAUGUGUUGUACCUGUCCCAUGAAAGUUGCUCUCCAUAUUUAGAAGCGGGAAUCAUUCUUGGGGAUGGAGAUACAUAUGAAGAAGAAUAAAACCCUAAUCAAAGGGGUGAAAUCUUCCACAUUUGAUCACCAAAUUAGGUGGCUUAAGCAUUCAAGUGCAACAUGAAAUGAACUGCCUCCGUACAAGAGUAGUUAGAAGCAAUCUGGAUGUUGCAAUCCUAAUGGGCCAAGAGUUGGAUUAUAGAACUAGAAAUGCUUGUAGUCUUAUAGAUGUGGCUAGCUGCCGAGGCACAAUCCCCUUGAAAACUAGUGGUUUUUUAGCAUGAUUUGCAGGCUUCCGUUAUAGAUAUUGUAUGGGAAGUGAUUUCCCAACUCUCUUUCUUACCUCGUACAACUCCCUUUUUUCUUAGGUUUAGGGUUGGAUAAAUUAAAGGAGAAUCAAUUAAAAGAACAAAAGGUGAAUGCAUAAGGAGAAAACGAAUGAAACCCUAAUCAAAGUUGUGAAAUCUUCCACAUUUGAUCGCCAAAUUACUGAUGGAGAUGCUGCUUUCUCCUUGUAUUUAGGGUUGGAUAAAUCAAAGGAGAAUUAAACGAAAGAAACAAAAGAUGAAUAACGUGAUUGCAGGAGGAGAAAACGGGAAUGUGAAGAUCACUACCCUAUUUAAUUUGUCUUUUAUUGUAGGUUGCACUGCCUGUAGAACUGUAGAAGAGCAAAGACAGUGCAUGAUGAGAAUAGACAGUGCAUGGUGUCAUGUCUAUUGGUGUUAGAAAUUUGAUCCGAGUCUUUCCUUUUUGGAUUACAGUGAAGGACUGAGGCUUAUGCUAUAUCGUCCCUCCCAAUGCUAAGCACUAGCUAGUGGGCUGCCGAUUACAUCACAUGGGCUUUGAACUCUGUCAAUUAUUUCAAAAGACCUUUGCCUCUUCAAUGAGAGCCUCUAACCCAUAAUCCUAUGCUCCUAGAGCUAGAGCUUCUCCCCACCCUUCUUGGCAUUAACACACAGCUGGGAUAUACUUUUGUAUCUGUUUCUUCACGUGAUUAAUGAUUCGUUUGAUUGCUUUCUUCAAAAGGCACUUAUACUGUAACUGCUUUUGUUGUAAACACUUUGAUUUUUUUUUAUUGAACAUCCAAAGUGUUACACAGAAAAAAGCACUUAAAAAGUGCCUCCUGAAAGAGCAUAUGAUAGGUGCUUCUCUAAAAAACACUAUUACGAGCCAAAAGCACUUCUAAAUUUUUUUUGCCAAGCACAACAUAAAACGCUUUUGGCUUUUAUAGAAGCAAUCUCAAACGAGCCCUAAGUAAAAAGAGGUUUAUAUAGGCCACUAGACCCAAACGAAAGAGAAAACUAAUAGUGGGCAAUGAAUUGGUUUUCGAUCUACCGUCAAAUUGGCAUAGAUUAUGAUUCUCUCCCUUCUUCUUUCCAUCCCCUCCUCUCACAUUCUCUAUUUUGUCUUUCUCUUUCUAUAAAAACUUAAUAUAAGAUGUUGACGUAGCUUAACCGUGACCGUUCAAAUAAGAGGGGAGGGAAGGGGAGGGAAGAAAAGAGGGGAGAGAAUCCUACUCCAAUUGGCACAACAUUCGGCAUUGUUUUGCAAGGAUGCUUUCUUCUUAGCAUUGAUUUACACACACUCUAGUAUGUGGUAUAAAACGAGCGAGGGUUUGGCUGGAGAACGAGUCUGAGUCGUUAAUGCCAUGUGGGCUGGAGGGUUUCAUUUGGUGCCAUUACUCCUUUUCGUGUUUCUAUCAUCCUUUUGGAACUGGAAGAGAAGUGGAGGGGAAAAAGGUAGUUUAGGGCAAAAAGGAUAUUGAGUUUAUAAACCAGGAAAAUGGCUAAGCAAUUAUUUGGUGCCAAUGUGACCCUUACCAAAAUAUAGACUAGUUGUGGUAAAAAAGAAAAAGGCAAAAGGGGGUAACUUUAAAUACAAAUUGUACCAAAGUGUAAAUUGUCCCACAGCUUGUCCAGGGACCAGAUCAUUGAGUUGUUGCUGCAAGCCUGCAAGGAGAAAGUUGUGGAUUAGAUAGACGCAUCGUCUUCGUUUGGUAUCAUUCCAAGUCGUCCUGGGUGUUUCUUCUUCAAUUUGGCCUCUUUCUUCCUUUGGAUUUUUGAGCUCAUGAGCAAAUUGAUUGUCGUUUUCUGUUUCCUGAAGACAAAAUUUGACUGUUUGAAAAAACACUUUUUCAUGAAAAAUUAGUUUGAAAUCUAUUCUACACCUAAAUGGACAUCAAUCAUUAAUUUUGUGUUAACUAAGAAUGUAUGUAUGAAUUCUUGUAUUAGGAUUUAGUAGUAUCUCUCUUUAUUUUUAAGUGAGAAACCUUAAGUUUGAUUCUCAUAAAUUACGAGUUCGAAACCAAACUCUUCUCGGCCCAUUAGUGUAACUCUGUUAGGCUUUCAUCCCUGAUAUCGUUGUAUAACAAAACUAUAUGCAUGAAUUAUUACUUGAGGACGGAGGAAAAAACAAAUUCACUUGACUUAUUUCCAAAUUAAGGCUUUAUUUCUUCCUGAUUUUAGAAUUACCUGAUUAUCUAGCCUAUGCUCAUACCACAUUGAACUUCAACGAUUCAAACUGUUUAUUUUUUAAGUUGCACCUCAUAGAUCAUUUUUGUGAAAUAUUAGCUAAAUUAAAAAUAUAUGAGGUAUCUAAUUGAGUACAAAAAAAAAUUGACGAACACUAUAUAUUCUAAGAAGCAUAUGAAAUUUCAUCUUAACAAUUAAAUAGGCAAAUAAUUUCGGAUUGAAUUAAAUUUUUGUAAGGAUUGUCUAUUAAUUAAGACUUAUAAAAUAGAAGGUACAUAUCGUUGAAAUUUAAUAUACUGUAAGCUCCACAACUAAUCCUCAUUUAAAAAAAAUAGAAAUCCCUUGUUAAGGCAUGUGCUUUUGAGUAGGUAAAAUUUGAAACGUGAGAUGUCGUUCACUAUGGAAACAAAGAUCGAAAGCCUUCAUGGUCCCAUUCCUUGAAUCAGAACAAAAGAACUUUAAAGAAAAGUCCUUUAACUCUGUCCAACUUUGGAUACUUUUGUUCAUGCAUGCAUUCACUGACUGAUCUGAUCUCGUUGUUUUGAAGGGAAGAGAUUUUUCAGUGUAAUCGGUAUAUGAGUUGGUACAUCACUUGUUAAUAUACAAAUGAUGAGAUAUAUGUGUUAAAAAGUUAAUAACUUAAAAAAUAAAAUUUUCCACCACUUACAUAAAAACAUGUGAUAUACUACUUGUAUUUCCGUCACAAUGAAAAAUUUCUCCUUGAAGGAUAAGAGAGGAAAUUCCAGACUAAACUACGUGGCACUACAUGCAGCAUGUCAAUUACAUCAACUCUUCAAGCUUUCAACCCUUUCAUGGCAUCUUCAAAGCAUAUGCCUAACUUCUUAGAAAUAUGACCAACAUCUAACAUUUUUGUAAUCCAUAAAGAAAUACAUACGUUAACAUUUAGAAACAAAAUCCAGACAAUAAGAGAGAGAUGGCUGUCCAGAAAAAAAGUAAGAGACAGAUGCAUCCAUUGAUAUAAAAAAGAAAGAAAAAAGAGAUGCAUCAACAACUCAAUAUUUAUUACCUAUUGAAUCGCAGUUUUACAUACAUAUCAUUGCUAAUGAGAUUGGCACUAUUAGUUAUCGAGGACAUAGCAAUCUGUAUUGUAUUUACAAUUAUAUGAGUUAAACUUCAUACAUCCUCCGAUUAAAUGACAAUAACUACUAUAAAAAUGUUUAUAUGUAAGUAGGCUACAUAAAUACACAUAAACAAAUAAGUUCUUGUAUAUAUGCUAUACUUUGAUUUGUUUAUAACAGGAAAAGGUUCCACAUUAUUGCUAGCUAGGCUAAGCUCACAUCCCUCUCACUUAAUGUAGAUAAUAUCAUUUGUUAAAAAUAAAAAAAAGACUCAACAAGGAAUCACUAUUUGUUUCUUUAUAACCAUAAAUUUAUGUAGAGCAACCGAUUGAGUAUCUCAAAGUUCUUAUUCGUAUACAACACACGUUGAGACAGGUAAUAAUUAUAACAAAAUUAAAGACUAUAAUCUUAUAACGUUUUUAGAUUAGCUAAAACAUUGGUAUACAUAUUUAGCUUGCUAAAAACAUAUGUCGAAAUGUGCCACACCUGGAGGAUUUGUAACAAAUUCAUCGUUUUAGAACAAUAAGAAAUGACACGUUGCCUGUAAGAAUUUUAUAGUUUGUUGAAUGCCAUCAACAUCCAUCACGUUUGAAAAUAUGGGCGGCAUUGUCUGGGUUGUAAGACCCCUAUAUUCGUUUGUUCCUGUGCUAAACAAGGAUGGCCUCCCUUGCCCUCCUCUUUAGAUUUCUGUUAGGAUGAGAUUAAGGUGACUUGGGGCUUGUUCCAAGUUUGUGUUUUCUACCUUCUUCUCAUUGUGUAGUUCUUGUUGGUCUCUCUAGGCCUUCUGUUUCUUUUGGCUUCGGCCCUGGUAUUGAUUUUCCCAGUUUCUCAAAAAAAAAAAAAAAAAAAAGUUAUGGGAGUCCCUCUCUCACAUUAAUAAAGUCUGGACCCAAGAAAAAGCAAAAGGAUCCGGCAAGGAUCCGUUUGCCGGAUCCUUUUCCACAGGUUUGGGUACAUUAAUGAUCACUACAAGAAAAAGGAAAAGGAUCCGGCAAUAAAGUUUGGACCCAAGAAAAAGGAAAGGGAUCCGGCAGGGAUCCGUUUGUUGGAUCAUUUCAAAAUUUAAAAUUUAAAAUUAAAUAUAAAUAAUACCUACAAAAACUGACCGCACAAUGUAUGAUGAACGAUCACGAUCACGGGAUCCCUAGGAAAAGAAUCCGGCGAGGAUCCUUUUCCCGAGAAAAGUAGGCUUUAGUCACGAUUUGUUAAGAUUAAUCUAACCUAAAAGCUAUACCACAUUCUAAACACAAAAUUUGGUAAGAAUAUGAUGAUUUAUUUUAUUUUCUCAAACUAUAGAGCAGUUACGUACUCACACACCGGCGACAAUUAUCCUCCCCCAAAUCUGGGUAUAUUUCUACUAAAAAAAAUGUUUACAUAUAGAAACCGUAUAGUAAGUUUAUUGAAAUUGGCUCUGUAUUAAUGGAAUCUCCGCAUCCGUACAUUAAAUUAGAGUGGAACUCGAGGAAAUGGAGUACAUACGAAGAUAAGAAGACGAAGAAGAAAACUACAAACUUGGAGCUUCAAGGAGAGGGACUGAGCAGGGAGUAUAAAGAAAACAUUGUAUUUUUCUUCGAAGAUCUUUCACAUUUUCUUCUUGGUUUCAAGGAGAGGGAACUGAGCAGGGAGUAUAAAGAGCCAAAGCCCAGAAUUCCACAAUGAAAAAGAAAACAUUGUAUUUUUCUUCGAAGAUCCUUCACAUUUUCUUCUUCGCUUUACAGAAUCAAAUAGCAUAUUCUCACCCCCAAGAAACGAUAUAAGAAAACAGCCAAAUUAAGGUAAAUUCGAUAUAAUGCAUUUUUUUAUAGCAACUUGGCAAACAAAAACAUAGUAGAAGAAAACAAGGAAUAUACAAAGAAAUUAAGGAAGUUUGGGAAAACGAAGAAAUAUAAUAAAGGACCAACUCUCAAUGAGUUUAUAAUACUAUAUACGGUGCAAAUGUAUAUGUUCAGGAAAUAAACUUUUAGCGAAAAUAAGCUGCAAAUUUGACUAAAUUUUUCUUCAUAUUUACACUCAAUUUUUUUCAAGAAUAUAUAUAGAGUUUGGCCAAAGGAAUUAACUUCGUUCCUUAACGAUUGAGGAGGAGUUCCUCCCCAAUUCACAUUGUGGCUGAUUAUGGACCUUCAUUCUUAUAAUCGGAAGAGUAUAGAAACUACUCUUUUUAUCGUCGAAUCCGGAAGGAAGAAGUGGUUGUAGCUUUGAAGAAGAUGAAGCAUAAAAAAGCAAUAGGCCCAGACGAUAUACCAAUCGAAGUGUGGAAACUUUUGGGAGAGACGGGUAUAACAUGGCUCACUGACCUUUUCAAUAGGAUUUUGAAAACGAAGAAGAUGCCAAAUGAGUGGCGAACGAGCACUUUGGUGCCUAUCUACAAGAAUAAGGGCGACGUACAAAAUUGCAUGAACUAUAGGGGUAUUAAGCUAAUGAGUCAUACAAUGAAGCUCUGGGAGAGAGUCAUUGAGCAUAGAUUGAGGCAAGAGACACGGGUUUCGGACAACCAAUUCGGGUUCAUGCCAGGGCGCUCAACCAUGGAGGCAAUCUAUCUCUUACGAAGAUUGAUGGAAAGAUAUAGAGAUGGGAAAAAGGAUUUACACAUGGUCUUUAUAGAUUUGGAAAAAGCGUAUGAUAGGGUCCCAAGAGACAUUCUUUGGAGGAUUUUAGAGAAGAAAGGAGUACGAGUAGCAUAUAUCCAAGCUAUAAAGGAUAUGUAUGAAGGAGCAAAGACUGCCGUAAGAACUCAUGAAGGACAAACCGAAAGCUUUCCCAUAACUGUAGGAUUACAUCAAGGCUCAUCCUUAAGUCCUUACCUUUUUGCGUUGGUAAUGGAUGAGUUAACAGGACAUAUUCAAGAUGAUAUUCCUUGGUGUAUGCUUUUCGCAGACGAUAUAGUGUUGAUAGAUGAAACUCAGGAAGGGGUAAAUGCAAAGCUUAACCUUUGGAGAGAAGUGUUGGAAUCUAAAGGUCUUCGCCUAAGCCGAUCAAAGACAGAAUAUAUGGAGUGCAAGUUCAGUGCAAAUGGAGGCCAAAACGAGUUAGGGGUGAGGAUCGGAGAUCAAGAAAUACCAAAGAGCGACCGUUUUCGUUACCUAGGAUCUAUCUUGCAAAAGAACGGAGAAUUAGAUGGAGAUCUCAACCAUAGAAUACAAGCUGGAUGGAUGAAGUGGAAGAGUGCAUCCGGCGUGUUGUGUGACCGCCGUAUGCCACUGAAGCUCAAGGGAAAAUUUUAUAGGACGGCAAUAAGGCCGGCGAUGCUGUAUGGCACAGAAUGUUGGGCGGUGAAACAUCAACACGUACACAAAAUGGGUGUAGCGGAGAUGAGGAUGCUUCGUUGGAUGUGUGGGCACACGAGAAAGGAUAAGAUUAGGAAUGAGGAUAUCCGGGGUAAAGUAGGAGUAGCCGAAAUUGAAGGAAAGAUGAGAGAAAAUCGGUUACGGUGGUUUGGACAUGUGCAAAGAAGGCCUACUGACGCUCCGAUUAGAAGAUGCGACUAUGGGACAGAGGUUCAGGGCCGAAGGGGUAGAGGAAGACCUAGGAAAACUUUGGAAAGAGACUCUAAGAAAAGACUUAGAGUACUUGGAUCUAACGAAGGACAUGACACAGGAUCGAGCACAAUGGCGUUCUAAGAUUCAUAUAGCCGAUCCCACUCAGUGACUUGGAUUUUCCAAGUCUCCAACCGAGAAGUUUUCCUCACUCGGGAAAUUAAGGGAACACUACCCCAACCUACAUGCUCCACUCAGAAAGCUUCAACAUACAAGCUUCAACAAAAGAAAAUUCAAAGAACUUAGCGAAGAAGGCUUUGGUGUAUUUAACACAAUACGUUGAAAUGAAGGAAAGCUUAUUUAUUGAUAUCCCCGAUAAGCUACAAAUAUGUACAUAUACAUGAGUCAAAAUAAACACACAAGAGGGAGCCUUCACAAAGGUUGCUUAGGAGAAGUCUCAGCAGUCGGUAGAGCCCCAGAAAGAGAAGGCACCGGAGGGGGAUCAUUUGGAGCCUCAGUACUGGACAGAACCCUAGAAGGAGGAGGCAUCAGAGGUUGAUCAUUUGGAGCUUCAUUACGCGGUACAGCCCCAGAAGACGAAGGCAAUAAAUGCCUUUGGAACAAACCCACAAAUCUCUGAUGAUCAAGUAAAACCUGACCAUCAGUUUCCUUCAUCUGGUCAAGCUUCCUCUUCAUGUUUGUAGCAUAGUCAUGUGCGAGCCGGUGCAACUGUUUAUUCUCAUGCUUGAGCCCUCUAAUCUCCUGUUUGAGACUCAUCACUUCAGCCGCCAAUGAUUCAACUUGGCGGGUUCGAGCAAAUAGGCGUUGGGCCAUAUUAGACACAGAACCUGCACACUGAACACUGAGAGCCAGCGAAUCCUUAACAGCUAACUCAUCAGACCGUUUGGAAAGUAGUCUGUUAUCUUUGGGAGUGAGAAGGUUCCUGGCCACCACCGCAGCGGUCAUAUCAUUCUUCAUCACGGAAUCCCCAACGGUAAGAGGACCAGUAGGGGAGACGAAGGAUGGGCGCCAUAUGUUGUCUGGAGAAGGCGGGGCUGCCUCUUCAACAAGGUUCAAGUCAAAACGACGGUCGGAGGGGCCAGACAUUUUCAAAGGUGUUGAAGAGAGAAGAGGUCGGACAAAUCAAGAUCUUAGAAGUGCAAGAAUGAAGCUUCUACUGGUGGAGAUUCAAGUGUGCUUUGGAACUUAAUGCCAGCCCCUAUAAAAAUCUGCACUCGACGGAGCUCGCCUGCUCAGAAAUCGAAGAGGCGUUUGCUUUCUCAAAAGCUGGGCUGCUUAGAGAUCACGAGGGUUGAUCUCAGAAAUCGAAGAGGCGUUUGCUUUCUCAAAAGUUGGGCUGCUCAAAGACCACGAAGGCCGAUCUCAGAAAUCGAAGAGGCGCUCGCUUUCUCAAAAGCUGGGCUCCCCAGAGACCACGAGGGCCGAUCUCAGAAAUCGAAGAGGCACCUACUUUUCCAGCCUUGUCAGCACCUGUCACACGCACACUCAGCUUUGCGGAAAUUAUGGGCAUUCUGUCGAAGACUUCUGGGGAAGUAGAAAACACAUGAAUCUUACUGUUCAAUCACCCACUUCCCACACGCAACAAUAGCUCAUGGGUACCACAGAUAACUUUGCCAAAGUUCUCUGCCAAAGUUGAGCACGUGAAGCUUGCAGCUCCCACUACAUCGCUCUGACCAAGAAGGGUAAAAGAAUAGCAAAGAAACAGCACUAACAAAGUUUAGACCCAUAAAUUUUGAAGGUCUAGCUACCAUAUUAUUACCCACAAGGGUAAAGGAACAGUACCACUGCUGGAUAAUUGGAAAGUCCCUGUGUGUCAACCUCUGUGCUUCGUGGCAAGGUAGACUAGCAAACAUGCCCAACCUUUACUCACAUUCGAGAAAACACUCCCAAUAAGAUUGCUUGCUCCAAAAUCGAAGAGGCACCGUCCUCCGAAUCUCGAGAGCCAGACUCCCAACAUGACUACUUUCUUAAAAAUCGAAGAGAGGGUAAAGGAACAGUACCAUUGCUGGAUAAUUGGAAAGUCCCUGUGUGUCAACCUCUGUGCUUCGUGGCAAGGUAGACUAGCAAACAUGCCCAACCUUUACUCACAUUCGAGAAAACACUCCCAACAAGAUUGCUUGCUCCAAAAUCGAAGAGGCACCGCCCUCCGAAUCUCGAGAGCCAGACUCCCAACAUGAUUACUUUCUCAAAAAUCGAAGAGACACUGCUCCCCGAAUCUUCGAGAGCCAGACCCCCAGCAUGAUUGCUUUCUCAAAAAUCGAUGAGGCAUCGUUCUCCGAAUCAAUCGAAGAGGCGCUCGCUUUCUCAAAAGCUGGGCUGCUCAGAGACCACGAGGGCCGAUCUCAGAAAUCGAAGAGGCACCUACUUUUCUAGCCUUGUCAGCACCUGUCACACGCACACUCAGCUUUGCAGAAAUUAUGGGCAUUCUGUCGAAGACUUCUGGUGAAGUAGAAAGCACAUGAAUCUUACUGUUCAAUCACCCACUUCCCACACGCAACAAUAGCUCAUGGGUACCACAGAUAACUUUGCCAAAGUUCUCUGCCAAAGUUGAGCACGUGAAGCUUGCAGCUCCCACUACAUCGCUCUGACCAAGAAAGGUAAAAGAAUAGCAAAGAAACAGCACUAACAAAGUUUAGACACAUAAAUUUUGAAGGUCUAGCUACCAUAUUAUUACCCACAAGGGUAAAGGAACAGUACCACUGCUGGAUAAUUGGAAAGUCCCUGUGUGUCAACCUCUGUGCUUCGUGGCAAGGUAGACUAGCAAACAUGCCCAACCUUUACUCACAUUCGAGAAAACACUCCCAACAAGAUUGCUUGCUCCAAAAUCGAAGAGGCACCGUCCUCCGAAUCUCGAGAGCCAGACUCCCAACAUGACUACUUUCUCAAAAUCGAAGAGAGGGUAAAGGAACAGUACCAUUGCUGGAUAAUUGGAAAGUCCCUGUGUGUCAACCUUUGUGCUUCGUGGCAAGGUAGACUAGCAAACAUGCCCAACCUUUACUCACAUUCGAGACAACACUCCCAACAAGAUUGCUUGCUCCAAAAUCGAAGAGGCACCGCCCUCCGAAUCUCGAGAGCCAGACUCCCAACAUGAUUACUUCCUCAAAAAUCGAAGAGACACUGCUCUCCGAAUCUCGAGAGCCAGACCCCCAGCAUGAUUGCUUUCUCAAAAAUCGAAGAGGCAUCGUUCUCCGAAUCUCGAGAGCCAGAUACCACAGACCACUUUUUCAAAGUGCUCUGACAGAGUUAAAACAUGUGAAACUGGCAGCUCCCACUACCGUGCUAUGACCAAGCAGGGUAAAGGAAUAGCAUUACUACUUGUUGUUAGGGAGACUCCUAUAUAUGUCGACCUCCAUCCCCAACGGACAGGCAGACCUGCAAAAAUGCUCAACCCUUCAUCAUAUCUGAGAGGGCACUCCCAACGAAGCCUUUCGAAAUAUUCAGCUUUCUUUCCCCCCGAUAAUACCUCUGCAAACAAGCUAUACUAGAGCAAGAAUAUCUCAUAUCAUCAGGGUUAAAAGCAAGAGUAUCCCAUAUCAUGCUUUUUCCCUGUCUUUUCCUUUGGCCUUGUUUUUACCUGCAAGACAAGGAGAAAGAGAGCAAUCAGUCAGCACUUGGAAUCAAGCUUCCAGCCAGGAACUGACUGCCUGGAACCCCUUACCUGAUUACUUACCUGGCAUUGCUCUCGAGUACUCAUCUUCAACAUCUUAUGUUUCCAGGGAAGAUUCCGCAUCUGCUUGAGGAACAGAUAGGGCAAGUGCGAAGGAUACAAGGAAGCAUGUGGAGACAAGCGUAACAGCACACGUGCCGAUACAUCCAUUACUCUGUCAAAAGCAAAAGUAUCCCAUAUCAGCAGGGUGGAACGUACUCUAGAUUUGAUGGACUUGUUUUGACCCUCAAAUUCUUCAGUCGGCCUUAUACUCUGGAGGAAACCAGAAAACCCUCCAGCUCAGUUCAAGAAUAAGCCUGUGGAAAGUUACUUCUUCAAAAGCAAAAGUAUCUCAUAUCAUCUCUUCUCAUUUUUCUUCUCUUUAUCCUUCAUGCUGCUGCAAGAUGGGGAGAAGGUGAACAAUCAGUCGGAGCUCUGAUUGCUUACCUUGUCUGUCACCUCUUUCAGCAGACCCCCUAGCUCGGCGACUUGGGGGACUCCUACUACAUGGUUUGUAUCGCGCUUGACCAAGCCUGAAACUACAAGUAAGCUUCAAGUGAAAUUGAUACAUUACCUUGUGCAUCUCCACCAGUUAAAGAUACCACCCCUGGAUGGAGGAAGAGUACUUCCAGAGAAGAUGCCACAUCUACCUAUGAGACAGAUAAGGCAAGUCAAGACGACACCACACUCCGAUACUUAGAAGUUUCGUGAUUACGAGAUCAUUCUCCCACAAUAUUUCCUAAUGUCAUUUGUACUAAAUCAUUCACUUGUACUCACUAAAGGAGAGCUUGAACCUAUGUACUUGUGUAAACCCUUCACAAUUAAUGAGAACUCUUCUAUUCCGUGGACGUAGCCAAUCUGGGUGAACCACGUACAUCUUGUGUUUGCUUUCCUAUCUCUAUCCAUUUAUAUACUUAUCCACACUAAUGACCGGAGCAAUCUAGCGAAGAUCACAAAAAGCGACCGUUUUCGCUACCUAGGAUCUAUCUUGCAAGAGAACGGAGAAUUAGAUGGAGAUCUCAACCAUAGAAUACGAGCUGGAUGGAUGAAGUGUAAGAGUGCAUCCGGCGUGUUGUGUGACCGUCGUAGGCCACUGAAGCUCAAGGGAAAAUUUUAUAGGACGGCAAUAAGGCCAGCGAUGUUGUAUGGCACAGAAUGUUGGGCGGUGAAGCAUCAACACGUACACAAAAUGGGUGUAGCGGAGAUGAGGAUGCUUCGUGGGAUGUGUGGGCACACGAGAAAGGAUAAGAUUGGGAAUGAGGAUAUCCGAGGUAAAGUAGGAGUAGCCGAAAUUGUAGGAAAGAUGAGAGAAAAUCGGCUCCGGUGAUUUGGACAUGUGCAAAGAAGGCCGAAUGACGCUCCGGUUCGAAGAUGUGACUACGGGACAGAGGUUCAGGGCCGAAGGGGUAGAGGAAGACCUAGGAAAACUUUGGAAGAGACUCUAAGAAAAGACUUAGAGUACUUGGAUCUAACGGAGGACAUGACACAAAACCGAGCGCAAUGGCGUUCUAGGAUUCAUAUAGCCGACCCCACUUAGUGGGAAAAGGCUUUGUUGUUGUUGUUGUUGUUGUAUUCUUAUAAUCGGAAUUAUUCAUAUUAUAAAUUACUGUGUCAAUAUCAUCUCCACAAAAAAAAUCAAUUAAAUAUAAGAUCGUUUGGUCAUGAAACUGUGUAAAAAUAGAUGAACCGAUCCGGUACAUGAAUUCCGAAACUUCUAUCUACUUGCUAUAAUUUAUUGACUAAACAAUCUUAGUUUUAAUUAAUUUUUUUUAGAGAUGAUCUUUAAUUAUAAAGUAAUUUAUAAUAUGAAUGAUUCUGAUCAUAAGUACGAACUUCUUCUCAAUCUUGAGAAGCCAAGCCUUCCUCAAAAGUUAAAUAAAAAACAAAACCAAAAUGAUGCUCGGCUUCCUGGGUACUCAGCUAAACUCUCCACCUCCUUUCAUCUUACAAGCUUCUAGAUUUAGAUUUGUCUCAAAUGACAUGCCAACUAAUCUGCCCAGCUCAAUUUUGAUUCUUUGAAAUUUCCAGUGCCUCUACUUUUUCAUUUCUAAAUCUUACUUACUCCCAUUAUAUAUAAUUAGUUUUUUUUAUAUAUAUAGAUUUAUAAAGAUGCUUUGUCUAGAUAUGAAAGACAUAGUAGUGAUUCAAAGAGAUCAUUUGGAGCCAAAAAUAGUUAGGUGUAGUCAAAUUCGGAUUUGAGAGUAUUUUAAAAGACUUUAAAAUCCUAGUAUAGUCAAUUAAAAGAUUUUAAAGGAUUUUAAACUCUAUCCAAAUCUAAGUGUAUUAAAAAAAUUAAGAUUUUGGAGGAUUUCAAUAAGUUGUGGAUUUUGUAGGAUUUGAAAGCAAGAAGUAUGUCACAGUCCCGGAGAUGUACGUUAAUUAUUUAUCGGAGGUGUGAAAAGUCGGAGUUACCCCUGGACGUUGAGUUGUAUUAUUGGUUUAAUUGUGUUUUUGGACCAAUAUUAUUAAAUCCUAAUUGUUUGGAAUCAAUUAGGAUUAGAGUUUGGUGUAUUGUGGGUUGUUGACUAUUUUGGACCACACAUCACUCCAUUCUCUCUCUCACUCCCGUGCACUCUCUCUCGGUUUCACUCUCUCUCUCCUUUGAACUCGUACGGACAAUCACCCAAAACCCUUGAAACUUCACGGAUCGUGGUCAAGGUUGGCACCAUUGUGUUCGUGAAGCUCAGACGAGUCGAUUGGUACCCAUUUCAGGUAAAGAUACCUUCGAAAACCCUAGUUUUUCAUAACCCCCGAUUUGUGCAUUGUUCAUGCACACGUAAUUAUGGAUGGUUUUGGAAUUUGAAGCUUGUAGGAAGCUUAGUGAGGUCCUAAGGAAGCUCGAAGUGCUUCGUUUGAAGGUUUUGGACGUUGGGAUCGUGUGGAUGAAGUUUGGCCAGUUUUUCUUGGAAUUCUCCGGUGAGAUCCCGUGACUUUUAAAACUUUAAAUUAGUAUGAUUGUGUUCUACAAGUUAAGAGCUUCAUUUUGGUAUAAAUUGCGUAAAAAAUGGUGCAAAAAUGAGCAAUAAAUAGGCAGUUGCAGGUUUGCCCAAAAUCCGGUGCCGGUGACACUAUUCCAGCAUCUGGAGGUUGAAGAUGCCGCGCGUGGGGGGCGCGUUUUGCCAUGCCCUUGCCGGAUGAUUGUGUUCUACAAGUUAAGAGCUUCAUUUUGGUAUAAAUUGCGUAAAAAAUGGUGCAAAAAUGAGCAAGAAAUAGGCAGUUGCAGGUCUGCCCAAAAUCCGGUGCCAGUGACAUUAUUCCGGCGUCUGGAGGUUGAAGAUGCCGCGCGUGGGAGGCGCGUUUUGCCGUGCCCUUGCCAGCGCAUGGGAGCUUGAAAAUUUUAUCUAAAAAUUUAGGGAUGAUCCUGAGGUUGUAUAGGUCACUGUGGUGUAUUCAUAUACCUAUUUUGAGCAAUGUAUGAAAAGUUAUUAGUUAGUUUCACCUAUGUGCUUUAAAAUAACGUUUUUAUAGUUAAUUCGCAUAUAGGUGAGGCUUAUCCCAAGGACGAGCGUAUCCACGGGCGACUCGGGGGCUACGACCCUUCGACAUACCAGUGAGUGGGAUUUUGUUUUCAGUAUAUACUUAUACACUAGAUAUAUUUCCUAGAAAUGCAUUUUUUUCAAGGAAACUAUGCUUUGAAAUAGUAUGCCAAAUGCUUUUAUAUUCUGAAUAUGCAUUUCAUGGUUGCAUAUAUAUAUAUAUAUAUAUAUAUAUAUAUAUAUAUAUGUGGUGUUGUGGAGGCACAGGUAAGUUCAGGUAAGUUAUGUUUGGUUAUAUGAAUCAUCGAUAAAGUGAUAUGUGAUUGAAUAAUGUUGAGCUUAUAAAACUGCACCUAAGGUGAUUGUGAUUUAGCCAGAGAUGUGAAGUACAUGCCUGUUUAUUUACGUCACCUCCCGCACUAUAUGCUCAUAUUGGAUCUAAUUUAAGUGCACAGUUUUGUCGUACAGACCUUAUUUAUGGUUCCGACUCGUAGGUGACUAGCGAUUUAUCGCCCGGCUAUUAUGAGAGAGUAAAAUUGAGCAUAAUUAUAUUACACCCAAUCUUGUCUUACAGACCCCUUUUUAGUGGUUCCGACUUAUGUGCAGUACAUUGCCGUAUAGGUCAUUGUAGUGACUCCGGCUAGAUUGACUUUGAGCUAUGAAUUCAACCGUACAGACUAUCACAGGGGUUCCGGCUAACAUAUCAUAUUUCUAUGAAUUUAUUCUUACCUGAAUUGUUUACUCUGUUAUAACUUGGCAUAACAUACAUUUAAAUAUGAUUAUGUGAAGCAUGAAUUGAAUUGAUAUGAUUUCAUAUAUAUAUAUAUAUAUAUAUAUAUAUAUAUAUAUAUUAUGUAUAUGCUUAUAUCUUGGUUUUGGGAAAAAUUAUACAUGUUUGACAGCGAGGGGUUAGUAUAUUGAUAAAUGAAAUGGUUUUGUAAAACAUUUGUUUUUGCCCACUCACGUUUUCUGUUUUGCUCCCUUCCAGGUUUUAACUAAGCUUGCUGUUGGUGGCUUGAGGACGUCGGCAGUUUUGACUUAUCUAAAUAAUAGUAGGACAUUGCUGGUACUGUAUAGCUAGUACUUGUCUUACUGGACUACACCUAGACUUUAUGCUCUGAUUAGGAGUGUUUACUGUUGUAACUAACUUCUAUCACUUUCUGUUUAGUAGUGCACUCUAGUAAAUUGGUUUUCAAUUAUUCGUAUAAUUCUUAUCAUUAUCGCUUCCGCACUGUGCACAUGGCUACGCACCCUCACGUGACGGUCAUCAUGGCUUGAUCUCGGUCGGGGUGUGUCAAAGUAUAUAUAACCAAGACUAAAAAUAAUCCAACCUCACCCUCUAGAAUUUCAAAUCAUUUUCCAUCUGAGCAGUCCUCAGAUCUCUACCAACCCCAGCUACACACAGGUAACCACCAUAUACUUUGGUGGAAUCUCUUAUUAUGACCCUUAGACUUUAAUUAGGCAUGUAUGAUCAUCGAAGGACAUGAUCGAUCUAGGAUUUUGGUUAAUACUACUCUCACACCAUUUUGAUUUUUUUUAAUGUUUGUGGUACUACAAGCACUAUUAAAGUACCACAGCAUCCAUUUGUGGGAAAAUGGCAGUCGGUGGUGAUGGUUGUUGGUGGUUUAGUGCUCAAAAGCUCACCAAAGUUAUAUUGAUCUAUCAAUUGAGAAAGAGAUAGAGCCGUGGUUGUGUGAAAGGGGACCCGAAAAGGGAGGGGAUAAAGUGGUUAUCGAGUACAGUAGGGCAAGGGGAAAGAUUUUUCCUUUUAUUUUCAAUUAAAAAAUUAUAUUAAUAUUAUCACAUCCCAUGCUCGACUCCACCGUAGCACGAUAUUGUCCGCUUUAGGCCCCGACCACGACCACAUGGUUUUGUUUUUGUGAACUCACGCGAGAACUUCCUAGUGGGUCACCCAUCUUGGGAUUGCUCUCGCGCGAACUCGCUUAACUUUUGAGUUCCGAUGGAAUCCGAAGCCAGUGAACUCCCAAAAAGCCUCGUGCUAGGUAGAGAUGAGAAUAUACAUAUAAGGCUUAGAGGAUCCACUCCCCUGGGCGAUGUGGGAUGUUACAAUCCACCCCCCUUAGGGGUCCGAUGUCCUCGUCGGCACACUUCCGACUAGAGAUUGGCUCUGAUACCAAAUUGUCAUAUCCCGGCCCGGGCCCCCACCACAUCCCAAGCUCGACUCCAUCGUAACAUGAUAUUGUCCGUUUUGGGCCCCGACCACACCUUCACGGUUUUGUUUCUAGGAACUCACACGAGAACUUCCCAGUGGGUCACUCGGUUUUGUUUCUAGAAACUCACAUGAGAACUUCCCAGUGGGUCACCCAUCUUGGAAUUGCUCUCGCGCGAACUCGCUUAACUUCGAAGUUCUGAUGGAACUCGAAGCCAGUGAGCUCCUAAAAGGCCUCGUGCUAGGUAGAGAUAAGAAUAUACAUAUAAGGCUUAGAGGAUCCACUCCCCUAGGCGAUGUGGGAUGUUAUAAUCCACCCCCCUUAGGGGCCCGACGUCCUCGUCAACACACUUCCGACUAGAGAUUGGCUCUGAUACCAAAUUGUCACAUCCCGGUCCGGGCCCCCACCACAUCCCAGGCUCGACUCUAUCGUAGCAUGAUAUUGUCCGUUUUGGGCCCCGACCACGCCCUCACGGUUUUGUUUCUAGGAACUCAGGCGAGAACUUCCUAGUGGGUCACCCGGUUUUGUUUCUGGGAACUCACACGAGAACUUCCCAGUGGGUCACCCAUCUUGGAAUUGCUCUUGCGCGAACUUGCUUAACUUCGGAGUUCCGAUGGAACCCAAAGCCAGUGAGCUCCCAAAAAGCCUCGUGCUAGGUAGAGAUGGGAAUAUACAUAUAAGGCUUAGAGGAUCCACUCCCCUGGACGAUGUGGGAUGUUACAGUAAUAUCAAUAACUUAUUGUUGGGUUCGUUAAGCAAGUGGGCAAUUAGGUCCGUUUAUGAGAGCAUAGGUGAAAUCUUUCGAUGUCGACUAGCACAGCUCAAUUCGGAGUCCUAGUGGACAUUCUGGGUUGGUGUCCAAAAUCCACCACAAUCCACCAAAAUCUACAAACUAAAACUAUUCAAAUUCUUUAAAAUCCAUAUGAAUUUUGUAAAAGUCUUAAAUCCUCCUAAACCCUAUCAAAUUUAUCACUUUUAAAAUCCUUUAAAAUCUUAGUUUGACUACACCCCCUUAGUAUUUUAAAUUGGCUUUACUACAUUGCACAUUGAGAUGAAUUUUUAAAAUGUCCAUCUAGCUUAGCUAGCUACCAUGAAAGCUACAUGAAAGCUGACUGUCAAUUUUCCAAGGGUUUUUCCACAUGAAAUGGCAUGAAAUGGGUUAAUUUCACUUUAAAUAGUUGAUAUAAAAUGAAAACAAAAGUACAACUGGUUGAGAACCUUCCUUUCAUGUUCUCCGUAUCUUAGAGGAUAACAACAGUAGCAAGUUAGGCUGGAUCAAAUACAAGAAUGAACAUGAGAACGUGCAUGCAUGGUUACCUUUUCCUUUUGUUUUUUACAGAGAAUCUUGAGAAGCAGUCAAGGGCAACGUUAUGUUUUUACUACUGAGAUCUGUGUGCUAAAAGGAGAUUACGUAGCUAGGUUCAGUCUUCACCUAACACUCCUAUUAUCACUUGUGACUGUAAAAGAUAUACUGUUGGGGUUGGCUGACGUUAAUUAGUUGUUCAUAUUGAUUUGAGAAAUUUGAUAGAAAUGAGGAUUAACGAAUUACAAUUAGAGCUGGCAAAUAGUUGGGUUUAGUUGGUUUGGGUUAGAUUCACCACUAAUUGAUUUCUACACGGGUCAUUCAAAUUCAAUCCAUUAGCUUAUGCAAUGGUGGAGCGAUGAAUUUUUCACCGGGUGAGCUAGCUUAAAGAUUUAAAUAUUUAUAAAAAAAAAACAUGAUACUGUAUUUUCACCGUAUUAGCUAACUAAAGAAAAUUUUGACAAGGUGAGCCAAGAAUAAACAAAUACUUGUUUAAAUUCAAACAAAUCCAAACUUGUACAUAUACAAGAAUUGAUGAGAAAAAAAGAAUGUAAGAAAAAGAGAUGGUUUGUAAACUGUAUUUUAUAAUUUUAUAUAGUCAAACCGAGAGAAUUUGGAUCAGUGACUAAUAUAUGGUGGACUACAUUCGAAAAUUAAUAAAAAUUACAUGUCAAAUUUUAUUUUUGGGCUAUAGCCCAAAAUAGCCCUUAACAUGGCUCUGCCAGUGAGCUUAUGGUAAAAAUGGUUGACCCGAAAUGACUUGUUUUGUUAACGAGCUAAUCAUUUCAUCCAGUAACGAUUUUUUUUUUUUUUUUUUUUUUUUUUAACAUUCAGCUGAAACCCAACUAUUUCGCGAACUAUUUUAACGGGUCAACCGUUGGUCUAGUUUUGUACUUGCCAACAAAACAAAGAACAUAUGAAAUAGUAAAUUAUUUCAAAGUAAAUCAAAUAGCGACGUAGAUUAUAUAACAACGAGUAAUCGUUUUAACAAUUAAAAAUUUCUUUUCAUUGGUUCAUACAAUUUUCGAAUUGGUAUCAACUUUAGUGUUAUUGUAUGUUUGUACCAUAUUUGACCAAUCCCGAAAUUACUGAGCACCGGUCAACGUUAUACCGUCAAGGACCCAGAAGAGUUUCCCUCCAACUAGGAGGCCAAUCACAGCGUAACACGUGUCGACAUCAGAAGCCAAUCAUAGUGCGACACGUGUCAACAUCAAAAGCCAAUCACAACACGACACGUGUCAAUGUCAGAAUGAAACUAGAAACUCUCUUCUAUAAAUAGAGAUCAUUCUCUCAUAAUAUUUCCUAAUGUCAUUUGUACUAAAUCAUUCACCUGUACUCACUAAAGGAGAGCUUGAACCUAUGUACUUGUGUAAACCCUUCACAAUUAAUAAGAACUCCUCUACUCCGUGGACGUAGCCAAUCUGGGUGAACCACGUACAUCUUUUGUUUGCUUCCCUGUCUCUAUCCAUUUGCAUACUUAUCCACAUUAGUGACCGGAGCAAUCUAACGAAGGUCACAAACUUAACACUUUCUGUUGUACCAAAGUCCUCACUGAUUUUGUGCAUCAACAUAUGGCACCGUCUGUGGGAACGACACUUAUUCCCACUUUCUUCAGCUUUGCCAAGCUGGUUUCCACCAUUCGUACACUCUCUUUUGACCAGGCAUCCCUCUUCAACAUGGGGAGCGAAGGAAGCCACAGCAUACAGAAUGACACCCCUCAUGCACCUAGUGCGAAACAACAAAGGAAGGAAGGAAAGAGGGUUGCUCUUUAAGCUAAAUUCGAUGAGUUAGAAGCUCAGAAUAACAAGAUAGCAAUGAAGAAUGAGGUCCUCUAAGAGCAGUAUGAGAAGCUCUUUGAGACGCUCCACGAAACUAGGCGUACUCAAACACGUGAGCUCGUUGCCCCUAUGGACAUCAACCAUCAUCUGGGUGCCCCCCAACACGGAGGGUCACCUCCCUUCGACAUGGGUAUCCCUAAUGAGGAGCAAGCUAAUCAUCAAAACAUUGAUCAACAUGAGACUUCUCUCAACUCAGAUGUUUCGACCCGAAGUAGAAGAAAUGGAGGAAAACACCUCAUUGCAGAAGGGUUUGAAGGAUCAAAAGUCGUUUAUCGUGAUUGCCGAGACUUCCUAAAGCAACGUCGAGAGAAUCCCCUCCACAUAUGCUCGAAGAUCAAUGACCUAAGGGUUUCUGAAAGACUCGGUCCCUUCUCACGACCCAGGCCAGCUGCUAAUCUAGGGAAGGAAUGACAGGUCCCAGAGGAAUAUGAAGGUACGGAGGACUCUGAGGUAUUCCGAUAGACUCGUCCUAUAAGUCAGUACGGCGAGUCCAAGAAAAAACCACACGCCCUUACUCAAACUUUCCUACUUCCAAGAGGCGAUGGAAACUUACGAAAGAAAAUUCCAGUGGUACAUGACUUUACUCAGGACCCCCUUGUCCUUCAGCUUCUUGUGGAAGUAACCAAGUUGAAGGCCGAACGUCAGGCCGAGAUACCUGACUCGAACCAACCUAGGCAUGGCUCUCUCAUAAGAAGGAUCAUCGACACCCCCUUUCAAGUGAAGACAAAACAAAAGCUUAGUUUACAACUCUAUACUAGAAGGGAGGACCUAAUUGAACACCUUAACCUCUUUGAGGCCACCAUGGCAUAUCGGAUGCAUACUGACGAAGAGUAAUGUCUUCUCUUCCUCUCCACCCUCUCUGGCGGAGCUCUAAACUGGUAUUGCCAUCUUCCACCUGAGACAGUAGACUCAUUUGAGGAAUUGAGGAAACUGUUUGUCUCUCAACACAUCUUCCAGACCGAUCACUUGCAUUCUACGGAUGACUUGUACACUAUUCGCUAGAAGCCGGACGAGUCACUACGAGAGUAUGUCGGUCGCUUCAGCCAUGAGUAUUCUCGCUGCACUGAGGCAGAUGACAAGACCGCCCUCAAGGCCUUCAAGGCAGGCCUACGUGAUUGUUUCUUCAAGUACAUGAUCAAUGCCAACACUUGGAAGACUUACUCUGAGAUGAUGGCACAAGCUUACAACCACGCCUACGCCGAAGUAAAGACAUACCAAGGGAACCCCCAUAUGGUUAACCCCUAUCAAGAAAUGGGAAGUGGAAGUCAAGUUCUACCAAGUGAGGAGAUAUUAGCCUUUCAGACACCCAUUGCAUCAUCUCCUGCCUCAUUUAGCUACUCGCUAAGUCACCAAACGUAUCUGUCUCUUUGUAAGAGGAAGGAUUUUUACUCUCAGCAAGCCCAUUACAGCAAGAGGGAUAAAAGUUCGUAUCAAGACAACCAGGGGUGAACGUACCGUCGAUUAUUAUGUCUAUAGGGCCAUGCCUCACUCUUUCAAAGUGAAGGACUAGGUACUGAAGGAAAUGUUAUUAUAAGAAGGCAUACACAUUACAAAUGUUUUGACUCUUAACCGCUUGAGAUCUUUUGUCACACAAGCCAUUCGGCAAAUAUUUAAAGAAGAGGGAAUUCAUACAACUUCUUCUGAGUCUUUUGCGUUCCUAGCACUGGAACACUUGGUCUACAUUGACCUACCCUUAUACUCCAACUCAGAGCUUCAACAUGCGUACUUUGACACAAAGUAUGUGAUACUAAGUGUUACAACUAACAUGGUUCACAUAUCAAAAGCAUGGAUCCCUUCAUGCAUAGCAAAACAUUCAUCAGCAUCACACAUAUCAAUCAACAUAAACAUUAUACAUUCCAACACAUUCAUACAUAAACAUCAUACAUUCCAACACAUUCAUACAUAAACAUCAUACAUUCCAACACAUCCAUACAUAAGCCAACUGUGCUUCAAAAGGGUUCAACAUACUUUGUGUCUUCAACACUUGCUACAAUGUGCCUCGACACCUUGCCCUUAUUCUCACCAACCAGGUGAUGAAAUGUGAAGAAGGAACUCAUCUUCAUGCCACCAACCAAGUGAUGAAAUGUACAACCCGUACUCUAAUAUCAUUUGGCAACUUGCCACUCAUGCCACUAACCAGGUGAAGAAGGAACUCAUCUUCAUGCCACCAACCAGGUGAAGAAGGACCUCAUCUUCGUGCCACCAUCCAGGUGAUGAAAUGUCCAACCCGUACUCUCCUUCAUGCCACUAACCAGGUGAUGAAAUGUACAACCCGUACUCUAAUAUCAUUUGGCAACUUGCCACUCAUGCCACCAACCAGGUGAAGAAUGAACUCAUCUUCAUGCCACAAACCAGGUGAUGAAAUGUACAACCCAUACUCUCCUUCAUGCCACCAACCAGGUGAUGAAAUGUACAACCAGUACUUUAAUAUUAAUUGACAACUUGCCAUUCAUGCCACCAACCAGGUAAAGAAGGAAAACAUCUUCAUGCCACCAACCAGGUGAUGAAAUGUACAACCCGUACUCUCCUUCAUGCCACCAACCAGGUGAUAAAAUGUACAACCCGUACUCUAAUAUCAUUUGGCAACUUGCCAUUCAUGCCACCAACCAGGUGAAGAAGGAACUCAUCCUCGUGCCACCAACCAGGUGAUGAAAUGUGAUGAAAGGUGAUGAAGGAACUCACCUUCGUACCACCAACUAAGUGAUGAAAGCAACUCACCAUUCAUUCCACCUACCAGAAGACGAGUGGUACAACUUGUACAUGUGAACUCUUAGCAUUCACAAAUAAUCAAAAACCCUCAAGCUUGACAACUCAACUAGGGGAGCACUUAUGCCUAACAAGAGUUAUAGUCACCAAUAAAGUCUUAUUGCAAGCCAAUAACAACUUCAGUGCAUGGCAUACGAAGAUUAAGCUAUUCAGCCCUCUUGCAUCUGCUUCAAGCAUUUCCCCUCUGUAACAAUGCAAACACUACAACUCGUAGAAAGCUUCACACACUCUUGAUCAAGACAGUGUGAAGCAAAACCAAUUUAUGGUGCUAACAAGAGCUUCAUCAAAGAAGUUCAACCACAAUUCUUAAAAACUUCACACAUUUUUUAUCAAGACAGUGUGAAGCAAAACCAAUUUAUGGUGUCAACAAGAGCUUCAUCAACGGAGGGCAACUACAAUUCUCAAAAGCUUCACACACUCUUGAUCAAGAGAGUGAAGCAAAACUAAUUUAUAGUGCCAACAAGAGCUUCAUCAAUAGAGGGCAACCACAAUUCUCAAAAGCUUCACACACUCUUGAUCAAGACAAUGUGAAGCAAAACCAAUUUAUGGUGCCAACAAGAGCUUCAUCAAAGGAGUUCAACCACAAUUCUCAAAAGCUUCACAUACUCUUGAUCAAGACAGUGUGAAGCAAAACCAAUUUAUGGUGCCAACAAAAGCUUUAAAUUGGUGCCAACAAGAGCUUCAUCAAUGGAAGGCAACCAUAAUUCUCAAAAGCUUCACACACUCUUGAUCAAGACAGUGUGAAGCAAAACCAAUUUACGGUGCCAACACAAAUUUCAUCAAAAGAGUUCAACCACAAUUCUCAAAAGCUUCACACACUCUUGAUCAAGACAGUGUGAAGCAAAACCAAUUUAUGGUGCCAACAAAAGCUUCAUCAAUGGAAGGCAACUACAAUUCUCAAACCUUCGAAGCAAAUUCAAGACUGUUCGAAGCAAAUUCAAUUUAUAUGGUUCAUCCAAACCUUCGACUACUACAAGGUGUGGCUUGCAUCACAAUCUCUUGCUCAACAGUGUGGAAGCAAAAUUUGUAUAUGUUGUCUCUCCCACAUUUUUCAAAUUUCUAGUUUCCCAAAAAAAAAAAAUUGGGAAAUUCAACAAAGCUUCAUCAAUGGAGGACAACUACAAAUUCUCAAAAGCUUCACACUAUCUUGAUCAAGAUAGUGUGAAGCAAAAUCAAUUCGUGGUACCCAACAAAGCUUCACCACAAAAGCUUCACCAACAAAAGCUUCAUCAAUGGAGGACAACUACAAAUUCUCAAAAGCUUCACACUAUCUUGAUCAAGAUAGUGUGAAGCAAAAUCAAUUCAUGGUACCUAACAAAAAGCUUCAACUCCAAAGCUUCACCAAUAAAAACUUUAUCAAUGGAGGACAACUACAAAUUCUCAAAAGCUUCACACUAUCUUGAUCAAGAUAGUGUGAAGCAAAAUCAAUUCAUGGUACCCAACAAAAGCUUCAACUCCAAAGCUUCACCUACAAAGCUUCAACUCCAAAGCUUCACCUACAAAAGCUUCACACCCACAAUAGCUUCACCCACAAAGCUUCACCUACAAAAGCUUCACCCAUAAAAGCUUCACCAACAAAAGCUUCACCCACAAAAGCUUCACCCACCACAAAAGCUUCACCGACAAAAACUUCACCCAUAAAAGCUUUACCAACAAAAGCUUCACCCACAAAAGCUUCCACCACCAUAAAAGCUUCACCCACAAAAGCUUCCCCCAUCACAAAAGCUUCACCAACCACAAAAGCUUCACCCAUAAAAGCUUCACCUACAAAGCUUCAACACAAAAGCUUCACCUAAAAAAGCUUCACAUUAUCUUGAUCAAGAUAGUGUGAAGAUAGUGUGAAGCAAAAUCAAUUCAUGGUACCCAACAAAGCUUCAAUCUCAAAGCUUCACCUACAAAGCUUCAACAACAAAGCUUCACCUACAAAGCUUCAACAACAAAGCUUCACCUACAAAGCUUUAAAAUAUAUAUAUAUAUAUAUAUAUAUAUUUUUUUUUUUUGAAAUUCGAAAAUAAAAAAUAAAAAAAAAUUCGAAAAAUAAAAAAUUUCAAAAAAAAAUUCGAAAAAAAAAUUGCUUAGGCCUCCUUUUCUUUGGGCCUAACAACUUUCAUAACAAAUAUAUAUGAAGAAGGAGUUUUGGGCUACCACUUAGAAAGGAAAUGCCUCAUUCGUCAACUCCCUCGACCGGAGACUUAGGGGACUCCUACCAUAUGCUACUGCACCUUGAUACUCGGAAGUCUCACGACCACUCAGUGACUUGGAUUUUUCAAGUCUCCAAACGAGAAGUUUUCCUCACUCGGAAAAUUAAGGGAGCACUACCUCAACCUACAUGCUUCACUCACAAAGCUUCAACAUACAAGCUUCAACAAAAGGAAAAAUUCAAAGAACUUAGUGAAGAAGGCCUUGGUGUAUUUAACACAAUACGUUGAAAUGAAGCAAAGCUUGUUUAUUGAUAUCUCCGAUAAGUUACAAAUAUGUACAUAUACAUGAAUCAAAAUAAACAAACAAGAGGAGCCUUCACAAAGGUUGCUCAGGAGAAGUCUCAGCAGUCGGCAAGGGCCCCAGAAAGAGGAGGCACCAGAGGGUGAUUAUUCGGAGCCUCAGUACUAGGCAGAACCCCAGAAGGAGGAGGCACCGAAGGUUGAUCAUUUGGAGCUUCAUUACGCGGUACAGCCCCAGAAGACGAAGGCAAUAAAUGCCUUUGGAACAAACCCACAAACCUCUGAUGAUCAAGUAAAAUCUGACCAUCAGAUUCCUGCAGCUGGUCGAGCUUCCUCUUCAUGUUUGUAGCAUAGUCAUGUGCGAGCCUGUGCAACUGUUUAUUCUCAUGCUUGAGCCCUCUGAUCUCCUGUUUGAGACUUAUCACUUCAGCCGCCAAUGAUUCAACUUGGCGGGUUCGAGCAAAUAGGCGUUGGGCCAUAUUAGACACAGAACCUGCACACUGAACACUGAGAGCCAGAGAAUCCUUAACAGCCUUCAUCAGACCGUUUGGAAAGUAGUCUGUUAUCUUUGGGAGUGAGAAGGUUCCUGGCCACCACCGCAGCGGUCAUAUCAUUCUUCAUCACAGAGUCCCCAACGGUAAGAGGACCAGUAGGGGAUAAGAAGGAUGGGUGCCAUAUGUUGUCUUGAGAAGGCAUGGCUGCCUCUUCACCAAAGUUCAAGUCAAAACGACGGUCGGAUGGGCCAGACAUUCUCAGAAAUGAUGAAGGAGAAAUGAGGUGCAAUAAAUCUCUGAAGUAAGGGGAAAAUUCCUACAAGCAAUAACUCUCUGAAUGUACUUCUUGCACAUAAUUGGUGCCCUUAUAAAAGAAAGGGCAACAGGGCCGUUGGUUCAAAAAUCGAAGAGGCACCACUCUUCGGAUUCCAAAGAGGCACCACUUUCCACACGCAACAUCAGCUCCUCGGGUACCACAUAUAACUUUGCCAAAGAUCUCUGACAAAGUUUAGACACAUAAAUUUUAAAGGUCCAGCUAUCCUACUAUUACCCACAAGGGUAAAGGAACAACACCACUGCUUGAUAACUAGAAAGUCCCAAUGUGUGUCAACCUCCGUGCUCCGUGGCAAGGCAGACUGGCAAAAAUGCCCAACCUUUACUCACAUUUGAUAAAACACUCCCAACAAGAUUGCUUGCUCAAAAAUCGAAGAGACAUCGCCCUCCGAAUCUAGAUAGCCAGACUCCCAACAGGAUUAUUUUCUCAAAAAUCGAAGAGAUACUGCUCUCCGAAUCUCAAGAGUCAGACUCCCAACAAGAUUGCUUUCUAAAAAAUCGAAGAGGCACUGCUAUCUGAAUCUCGAGAGCUAGACUCCCAACAAGAUUACGUGCUCAAAAAUCGAAGAGGCACCGCCCUCUGAAUCUCGAGAGCCAGACUCCCAACAGGAUUACUUUCUCAAAAAAUCGAAGAGACUGCUUUCCGAAUCUCAAGAGUCAGACUCCCAACAGGAUUGCUUUCUCAAAAAUCGAAAAGGCAUCGUUAUCUGAAUCUUGAGAGCCAGAUCCUCGACAGGAUUGCUUGUUCGAAAAUCAAAGAGACACCGCUCUCUGAACUCCGAGAGCCAGAUUUCCUUGGAUAAAGCUUGUCUGCAAUCUUCACACACAACAUCAGUUUUCCAGAUACUACAAACCACUUUUUCAAAGUGCUCUGACAAAGUUAAAACACGUGAAGCUUGCAGCUCCCAUUACAUUGCUAUGACCAAGAAGGGUAAAGAAAUAGCACUACUACUUGUUAUUAGGGAGACUCAUAUAUAUAUCGACCUCCAUCCUCCACAACCAGGCAGACCUACAAAUAAAAAAAAAUGCUCAACUUUUCUUCACAUCCGAGAAGGCACCCUCAGCAGAGUCUCAUGAAAUACUCAGCUUUUUUUCCUCCCGAUAAUACCUCUGCAAACAAGCCACACCAGAGCAAGAGUAUCUCAUAUCAUCAGGGUUAAAAGCAAGAGUAUCCCAUAUCAUGCUUUUUCCCUGUUUUUUCCUUUGGCCUUGUUUUUACCUACAAGACAAGGAGAAAAAGAGCAAUCAGUCAGCGCUUGAAAUCAAGCUUCAAGUCAGGAACUACCUCUUGCCUGAUUACUUACCUGACAUUGCUCUCGAGUACUCAUCUUCAACAUCUUAUGCUUUCAGAGAAGAUACCAUAUCUGCCUGAGGAACAGAUAAGGCAAGUGAGAAGGAUACAAGGAAGCAAGUGGAGACAAGCGUAACAGAACACGUGCCGAUACAUCCACUACUUUGUCAACAACAAAAGUAUCCCAUAUCAUCAGGGUCGAACGUACUCUAGAUUUGAUGGACUUGUUUUGACCCUCAAAUUCUUGAGUCGGCCUUAUACUCUGGAGGAAACCAGAAAACCCUCCAGCCCAGUUCAAGAAUAAGCAUGUGGAAAGUUACUUCUUCAAAAGCAAAAGUAUCUCAUAUCAUCUCUUCUCCAUUUGUUUCUCCUUAUCCUUGUUGCUAUUUAAGACACAAGGAGAAGGAGAACAAUCAACCGGAAGCCGAAGUUGAACCUCUGAUCCAGGUUGCUUGCUUGGAAGUCUGAUUGCUUACCUUUUCUGUUACCUCUCUCGGCAAAUCUCCUAGCUCGACGACUUGGGGGACUCCUACUACAGGGUUUGUAUCGCACAUGACCAAGCUCGAAAUUACAAGUAAGCUUCAAGUGAAAUUGAUACAUUACCUUAUGCAUCUUCAUCGGUUAAAGAUACCACCCAUGGAUAGAGGAAAAGUACCUCUAGAGAAGAUGCCACAUCUACAUAUGAGACAGAUAAGACAAGUGAAAAUGAUACCACACUUCGGUACUUAGAAGUUUCGUGAUUACUUAAUAGCUUGGAUCUUGUAAGUCCCUAACCGAGGAGCUUCCCUUACUCGGGAGCUUAGGGGAUCACUGUUUGUACCAUACUUGACCAAUCCCAAAACUACUGAGCACCGGUCAAAGUUAUACCGUCAAGGACCCAUAAGUGUUUCCCUCCAACCAGGAGGCCAAUCACAGCGUGACACGUGUCGACAUCAGAAGCCAAUCAUAGCGCGACACGUGUCAACAUCAGAAGUCAAUCACAACACGACAUGUGUCAAUGUCAGAAUGAAACUAGAAACUCUCUUCUAUAAAUAGAGAUCAUUCUCUCAUAAUAUUUCCUAAUGUCAUUUGUACUAAAUCAUUCACUAGUACUCACUAAAGAAGAGUUUGAACAUAUGUACUUGUGUAAACCCUUCACAAUUAAUAAGAACUCCUCUACUCUAUGGACGUAGCCAAUCUGGGUGAACCACAUACAUCUUGUGUUUGCUUCCCUGUCUCUAUCCAUUUGCAUACUUAUCCACACUAGUGACCGGAGCAAUCUAGCGAAGGUCACAAACUUAACACUUUCUGUUAUACCAAAGUCCUCACUGAUUUUGUGCAUCAAUAUUGUACAAAUGAAAGGUAUGGUGACUAUAGAAGCUAAAAAUAAAUAAACAGAAAAUAAAGGAAAAGUGACAAAGAAAAAUAUUAGUUUGUGUCGUUCUCAUUGUAAUAGUCUGUCAUGUGAUAUAUUUUAUACAUUGUAAUAUGAACGAUGAGUAAGUGUUUUGUUUUUUUUGUCAAACAAUAUAUUUGUUAGAUUAGAGAAUUGACGGGGUUCGAAUCCACGUCGUGGUGCAAGGCCACCACUAGUCUCCACUACUGUGGUAGAGUGCCACUUGUGGUCAGUAAGUUAUUAAAUGGUGUGAGAAUUACACCAAAAUAUUCAUUAGUUUUGGAGUAAUGCUAGAGAGACUAAAUUUGUAGACAAAAUUUUAAAAACUAAAAGACAUAAAAGUUAAUGAUUGGUUUAUUACUUAAGUGUUAAUAAACAUGCUUAUUCCUAUUGGUGACACAUUAUUUAGUUUACAAAUUUUGUCUAUAAAUUUAGUCUCUGUGGCAUUACCCUUAGUUUUAGGCUUUGUAAUCAAAAUGGUCUUAGAGAUUGGUACAACUCUUUACUUUGGUCCCAAAUAUUGAAAAUUGAUAGAAGUAAUCCCUGAGUUUGUUCACCGUAAAUCAUUUUGGUGCAUCCGUGAAAAGUCUGUCAACACCAUCUUUAAAUUGUCAUAUGAGCGACCACAAGACAACCUUUUCCAUAGUAUUGUCAAACUAACUCCUUUUAUUAACCAAAAUGGUCGAGUUUGGUAUAACCUCUCAUUUUGAUUACUAACAAUGAAUAUCAAUAGAUGUGGUCCUUGAGUUUGUCUAUCGUAAAUCAUUUUGGUCAUUCUAUGAAAAAUUUAUCAAUAUACUCGUUAAAUUGUCAUGUGAGCGACCGCGUGAUCACCUUUUAAAGGGCAUUUUUACCAAACCAACCCCUCCACUUAACAAGAAUAUUGAUAGAGUUUUCAAGGAAGGAACAAAAUGAUUUACGAUGGUCAAACUCAAUGACCACUUCUAUCAGUUUUCAUUGUUAGGGACUAAAAUAAAGAGUCAUGUCGAUAUCAGGAACUAUUUUGGUUAAAAGGGGUUGGUUUGAUAAAAAAAUACAUUUAAAAGGGUGGUUACAUGGUCGCUCAUGUAACAACUCAAUGAUGAUAUUGAUAGAUUUUUUACUGAAUGAUCAAAAUAAUUUAUGGUGGAUAAAGUCAAAAACCACGUCUAUCGAUUUUGUAAUCUUAGAAACUAAAACGAAGAAUUAUGACAAUCUCAAAAAUCAUAAGUUUAACUAAAAACUCUUCUUGUUAUACAUCAAAAUUAAUGAAUGUGCUUUUGUAGAGGACGUAAAUGUGUCAACGAAUCAGACCUUCACUAGUUAAAACCAUCCCUACUAAUGCUGUUUGAAAAGUAAGUACUAAUAUGAUUAAUGAUUGUACAGAAAAAUAAGUACUAAUAUGAUUAAUGAUUGUACAGAAAAAAAUAUAUUAUCUGAACAGCUCAUCGUGCAUGUUGAUUGAUGUAAAGUGAAUUUUUUUUUUUUUGGUAAACUUGGGAAGGUGGAACUUGGGAAGGAAUUUCACAUUCUUGGGGUGAUCAAUAUAAUGAGAUUGUAAGUCUAGUUAAACAUGCUUAAUUAAACAUUUAAGCAUCUUUUAUUUAUUUGUUUUCAUUCUUUAUUCCUUCUUAAUUUGUUGUAAUUGUUUGGAACAACUAGCAAGACAAAUCUAGCUAGCUAGCAUUCACUGCACAAUGAAAGAUUAUUCGUAUUUGGAAAUGAAUAAUUAGUUAAAACCUGUAUUAUUAGGCAAAUGGGAUCGUAAAUAUUUGUAUCUUAAACCUUCACAGUCAGAGAUAUUCGAGUCAAUUAGUUAAAAGCUAUGAAAAUUGUGAAUGUGACAGACUACGUACUAAAGUCUGGAUUAUUUGAGAGAGAGAGAGACAUGAGUCUCGCAGCCGACUGGUCCCUCAUCUGAGCAGAAAGAACCAUAGAAAGUUAGGCAACCACGCACAUUUUCAAAGAUGUCGAUCAUGAAAAAUAUUUCACAAAUAAAUUCAGGGAAGACUUUCUGUUUAAAUUAUUAACCCAGAAAUAAAGCUCCAUCUCUUGGUAGCUAGCCUUUCUGCUACGUACUCUUGUUGCAUUAAACUAAACCUUAUUAAAGCAAAAAUAAUCACACCUUAGGUGAUAGGUUUAGGGAAAUGGUUAAUGAUUUUAGCAAGUUCUUGUUUAUUUUUUAAUUUUUAAUUUUUUUUUCUUUAAUCAAUUUAAAUGCUAAAAUUAAACAACGAUGUGCACCACAAAUAAGAGGGUGUGUGAAAAUUAUAUCUCUAUAUCUAGAGAAAAUUAUGGCAAUGGUUCUUUAACUUUAAUAAAAUUGAAGUAAUGGUCUCUCAAAUAAAAAUUUAUGAUCAUUGGUCCCUUAAUUCUUUCAAACAUGCAACUAUAGUCAUUUUCAUCAAUUCCAUAAGAACGUCCAUCAAAAUGAGUCACGUUUCAUGCAAUGAGGCUGAAUCGAAGGACAAAUAUGAAAAACCAAAUGAGAAAAAUUGUAGCAGUGGUCUCUCAACUCUAACCCAACUAGAGAAAUAGUCUCUCAACUUUAACUCAAUUAGAGUAAUGAUCCUUCAACCUUAACGUAAUUGUAGCAAUGGUUAUUCAAACAUAACUUAUUUUGACAGAAUUCUAACGGAGUUAACAAAAAAAUCAUAGCUGCACGUUUUGAUGAGUCAAGAGACCAAUGAUCAUGGAUUUUUAGUUGAAGAACAAUUGCUCUAAUUGGGUUAAAGUUGAGAGGCAAUUGCUACAAUCUUCUCCUAUAUUUAUUUAUUAUUAUCUACGUUUACAAUGAACCAUCUACUCCAUGAAGCAAGAUAUUAAAAAAGGACAAGGAUUGUCUGCCCUUCCAUUUUCCAUGCCCUCCUGUUUUGUGUGAUCACAGUUAAGCCACGUUAACAUUUUAUAUAUUUUUUAUAAAGAUAAUAAAACAAAAAUGAAUAGUAAUAUAAAAUAUUGACGUGGCUUAACCGUGACCACACAAACAAGAGGGCAUGGAAGGGCAUGGAAAAAGGAAGGGCAGACAAUCCUUUCCAUUAAAAAAAGGGCAGGGCUUAACAAAAUUCAGUCAAAGGCCUCCUUGAUCCAAACAUUAAUUGAUAAUCUAUUCAAACAGUGGCCCCAUUAGUCUUAUUUUAACAUUAAUCUUAUUUUUUACUAAGGUAAUUAAUAAUUGCAAGUGAAAUUUGGCAUGAUUACCGUGGUGUUAAAGGUAAAGACCAAAGCUAUAUAAAGGGUGAGAAGGCUUAGCUUAAGAGGCAGAAAUCCCAUUCUUAACAAAGAUGGGGAAAAUGGGGCCUUCACAAGUGACCUCUCUUGUGGUCACUAUACUAGUGGCACUAGUCUCUCUCACAUUGCCUUCAGAAACUUCAGCUAACUACCCUUACUCAUCUCCACCACCACCGGCUUCUCCUCCCUACCACUACAAGUCACCACCACCUCCUUCUCCUUCUCCUCCAGUGUACUCACCACCUAAGCAUCCCUACCACCCCAAGUCACCACCACCAUCACCAAAGCCUUACCACUACAAGUCCCCACCACCACCUCCUCCUCCAGUGCACUCACCACCCCCACCAAAGGAGCCUUACCACUACAAGUCUCCACCACCACCACCCAAGAAACCUCACCAUCACAAGUCUCCUCCACCACCACCCAGGAAGCCCUACCACCCGGUGCACUCACCCCCACCACCAAAGAAGCCUUACCAUUACAAGUCUCCUCCACCACCACCCAAGAAGCCCUACCACCCGGUGCACUCACCCCCACCACCAAAGAAGCCUUACCAUUACAAGUCUCCUCCACCACCACCCAAGAAGCCCUACCACCCGGUGCACUCCCCACCACCACCAAAGAAGCCUUACCAUUACAAGUCUCCUCCACCACCACCCAAGAAGCCCUACCACCCGGUGCACUCACCCCCACCACCAAAGAAGCCUUACCAUUACCAAUCCCCACCACCACCACCACCACACAAGAAGCCUCACCACCCAGUUCACUCACCACCUCCACCUAAGAAGCCUUACCACUACACGUCUCCCCCACCACCCCCUCCAGUCCACAAGUCUCCUCCACCACCAGUUCACUCACCACCACCACCACCUAUUAAACCUUACAAGCCACCAACACCUCCAACAGUUCACCCACCACCCGCUUACAUCUAUUCAUCACCCCCACCUCCUCACCACUACUAGAUAUUGAGAGCUUAGUUGCAUCCAGUUGGUAAGCCUCUCCAUUCUAUGUUUUUAGAUCAUAUCCAUACAACUGCAAGCAAUCGCCAAAUAAUUUGACAAAAAACAUCCCUAGCUAUAAAAUUAUAAUACACUAGUGUUUACUUCCUUUUUUGUCUAAUAAUCCAUAUUGGCAUAUGCAAGCUUAAUGCAUUUCCAGCAUAUCGUCAUUACUCAAUUAAAGUUUCUUGAUAUUUAGUAGUACUCAAGUGUAACAAAUAGACCAAUGACAGAGACCUAACAAGUAACAAUAAUAUAUAUAUAUAU